Molecule: long non-coding RNA, 57446 nt
Filed under: Musa acuminata (dwarf banana)
Lineage: Eukaryota; Viridiplantae; Streptophyta; Magnoliopsida; Zingiberales; Musaceae
Description: long non-coding RNA (MACU_LNC001885)
Source: RNAcentral
UUGGUGUUACCUCCCCCUCUUCCGCCGUCCUUUCCUGUUCAGGGUUCCGUUCCGAUCCUUUCCAUGGCGGCUUCCGACGUCGAGUUCCGCUGCUUCGUAGGCGGGCUCGCCUGGGCUACCGACGACGCCUCCCUUGAGCGGGCUUUCAGCACCUACGGCGACAUCGUCGAGUCUAAGGUCCCUUAUCUUCUCCAGAUCCAAGAUCUCAACUCGGGUUUCGAUCCUUUUUCCCUACUAGAUCUCGGAUCUCAGACCUCUUUCGUUGUGUUUUACGGUGCAGAUCAUCAACGACCGAGAGACGGGGAGGUCGAGGGGCUUCGGGUUCGUCACCUUCCGCGACGAGCAGUCGAUGAGGGACGCCAUCAAGGGGAUGAACGGCCAGACCCUUGACGGCCGGAACAUCACAGUAAACGAGGCCCAGAACCGCCGGAGCGAUGGUGGAUUCCGCAGCGGAGGUGGUGGGUACGGCGGCGGCGGAGGCUUUCGCAGCGGAGGCGGUGGGUACGGCGGCGGCGGAGGAGGUUUUCGCAGCGGCGGCGGCGGCGGGUACGGCGGCGGCGGCGGUCGCCGUGACGGAGGCGGUGGUUACGGCCGCGACCGCGGGUACGGCGGUGGAUCGUCGGAUGGGUACUGGAGGAGCUAAGGCGGUCGUUCGCUUGCCGCGAUCGGAGGGCUGGGCUUCGUAGUUAUCUGCUGCUUUGGUUAUCUUUAAGUUUGGACUUGUCUGUUGUCUGGCGUCAUUUUGGGUCUUGCAGUAUUAGUAGACUGAUGGUUGUGGUUUGGCAGUCGUAUGAGUGGGUGUUAUUAUCAAAGAAUAGAAAAGAAAAGACUUUUAAAAUAAGGUGAAUAAGUGCCUGAAGAAAAGCAUCCUUUCUACUUGACAUUAAUAUGUUGACGACGAUGCGUUUGGGGUGGAAUAGAUGAACAUCUGUUGUUAAUUAUUUCACUAUUAUCGUCUUACUAUCCCAAAGUAAAGGAGGGUGAAGUGUGUGCUAGUUAGUUUUGAGUAUAAACAUUUAAAAAUAGCAGCCAAAUUAUUUUCGGUUAAAACUUUUUUUUUAAGUUUUUAUUUUAUUUUCAUAGAGUAUUUUUUUAAUAAUAAAAAUAUGAUUAAUUUUAUUCUUUAUUCACUAUCCUUGUUUCUUAUUAUCGAGACGUAUCAUCGACUUUCACCCUUCAUUUUCAUCUACAACGAGGGCAUCUUAAAUCCCUUUUAUGUCAUUAUUGAUCUUGUCGUGAGGUUUUCGCCUUUUGUGUCUUUAUCACUUUUGAGGAGUGCGUCUUUAACCCCUUUCAUCGAAAAUAAAACAAAAACAAAAGGAGUAAAAAAAAUGAGAACGGCAGAUUUUUAUUUUGUCUUUUAAGAAUUUUAUUCUUAAUUUAUUAAGCAAUAAAUCACCCAUUGAUCAAAUUAUUUUAUACAAUCCAAUUCCUACAAUCUAAUCUAAUCUAAUCAUACAGCAGAAUCCAGCUGCAGGGAUCUGGAAUUCCCAAGCUUUUCUAGCUUACAUUUGAAACGUGAUAUCAAAAAUAGCUAUACUUGGAUUGCCUUGCGAGUAACAAGCCAGCUUGAAUUGCCCAGACAAAACAAACAUCUCACUGGGCUGUGGGCGGAGUACGGAGUCAUGCGUGCUCCGUAUCAAAGCUUGGACGGGACGGCUCGUCCCUCGGUGCCUUCCCAUUUGACGUUACCCUCUGCCACCCCCUAAACAAGAUGAAAACGCUAAUAUCAUACCCCGCUACUCAUUAGGAAAACAAAAGAAUCCUUCCUUUGUUCUAUCUCCGAAGCUUUUUCCAAUCUUUCUACUGAAUUUUGAGCAACUACAUAUGCCUGCCACUACAGGUUUAGACAAGUGAACCAAGCAAGAGGAAGAGGAACCUAAUGCAGUGAUGCACUAUGAUCUAACUCCAUUCACCAAACACAGGCUGUAAAGUUUCGACGGUUCCCUACUGAGUUGGCGCACGCGAGAAGUCAACUUCGCUUCGCUCUUUUUCUCCGAACAAAAGAACACCACCCUUUUCCUGCUCAUUCAUAGGUCAAUGGCGAAGAAUCAAAACAAUGAGAGAUCAGUUAAUACAUCACAAUAAGAUGUCAUCUGUUCCAUGACAAUUUCGUGUCAACACAAAGGGCAGAUGGAGUACCAAAUUUCUCUACGAAUAGAUAAGGGGACGCUGUCAGUGCAUCUUAGCGAAGAAGUAUGCAAGACACAAGAAAAGAUCUUCAUGGAAAUCGUCAAGCCAAACAAUAAAAGCCAUGGAAUUUGCAGGAUGCGCAAUAAAUCAACAUGGUUAGUGCUUUAUUCUUGAAGAAGAAGAAGAAGAAGAAGAAGAAGAAGAUGCCUUUUUUUUUUAUCUAUAGUAUCGAGUGAUCACACUGAAUUUUGCCAGAAUGUGUUCUGCAGAUCAAUUGCCAUUUACAAGAAUGCUCCGUCGCAGCAGCUGAGGCACUGCAGAUCUCAUCCUACCUCGACGUAUCCACGUCUCCGUCUUUGGAAGCGGAAUCCGACGACGCAAUAGCUUGCCUUGCUUCCUAAGACCAUUAGAACGAACGCUCUCUAAAAGAAUUCCCCUCAAGAUGAUAAAAGAAGAAGAGAUCCUCCAUACCUUGCUUUGCUUCCUAAGCUUGACGAGGUCACCUACCCCUCUGAUCGUCUUCUUGAGACAAAUCCUAUGCUGAUCCAUGGGCGUGCUGACGAACUGGUCGAAGUGGUCCUUGACGUUGGCCAAGAAGCCGGCGUCGGGCGCCUUCUUCUUCCAACAAGGCGAGACGGCACGGCCGGGGAACUCCACCUCCGAUCGACCCUUGGCUGACUCCAUCAUCUCCAGAAACCUAUUCCCAGUGUCCGAUCACCAAAUGCUCUAUGUUGGCAGAACAGAGCACGCCUUUGAAUUAAAAUACCACUGGUGCCACCGCAUGGUACGAUUUACAUUAAUUUAAUUUGCGGUUUGAAUUCGACAGAAAAUGAGAAAUCACGACACGACAAGCCCUCACGCUUCUACCAAGAACAAAGAGCAACAGCAUGAUGCACUCACUUUCAGAGGAGCAUAACAGAGAUACUGUGGUGGUCGCCUUUAGCUGCAAGAAGCGGAAAGAGGAAGAGAGAGACAGGCAGGCCAGCAGAGAUGCCAAAUGUUUGAAAGGCGAGGAUGGAAAUUAAUAGGAGAGAGAGAAAGAGGGUGGGGAGAAGGAUGACGCGGAAUCGAAAGAAAUCUACCUAGUUCCGCCCAUUGGAAGGGAAGAGCGGGGUCGGUUUUGCUCUCGAGACUUGCUUUGCCUUUCGGGUCUCGGACGCCGACAUUUGACUGGAUUUGCUGGGUGUGAAGAACGACGGCGGGCCGGAAGCCGUGCGCUUGCGGUUCCCUAUUCGCCCCCGAAGAAUCUUAUUCACGCUACGAAAAGAUUGCGGUUGGCUUUUGCAAGAUAUUUAUGAUGCCGACUAUAAUUGCGGUUGGCUUUUGGAUCUUGUGGAGCAUAUUCCACGAUUCGGGCCACUCGUCCCGAGGGCUCGCCCCCGAUCGUGGAGGGUUUCGUUCGGUGAGAGUAGAAAAAAUCUGUGUCAUCAAAUCAUUCUUAUGCUUGUGGAUUUGACAUGGGAUAUUGUUGGUCUAUUUUUGAUAUCGCUUAUUAAUCAAUUAUCUUGAAUGAGUUCACAGGUGGAGUGUUAGCGGCAGCGUCGGUCCUCUUCCUUCGCUGAAAGGCAACCUGCGUCGCCCUCAUCAUCGCUGCUGGCGGCGUGCCUUUCGAAAGGGUUCGUACGCUGUUUCACUUUAUUCCUUGAGCUUUACUCUUCGUAAUCGGUGAAGUAAAGACCGGCCCCCUAAAUCACGGGAAACGGCAGCCUUUUACCCCUUUCCUAUCGGGUCGUCUGGUCACUGAUUUCAGUCUAGGAGGCCUGCACGUUACCUGUUCGACGUAAUGAUCGAGACAAAAUAUGUCCUCCGUGACCUGCGUCCGCCAUACUAGGAGUAAUGUGCGGUCGUGCAUGGCGAUUGCCCUUCUUUCACAGUUUCAGUUAAUCAAAUAAAGAGGCUAGUUUGGUUGGAAUUUUCCACCUUAAGUUCCCAGCUAGAUUUUGUGGGUUGAAAUGUUGGGUUAAGGAAGAUGGAACUUGUAAUAGAUGAUAAACCCCCGUUUCCCGACGGUGAAUUGAUUGGAACCUGUGUAUUUGAACAUCUGAAAAUAUGCCACACGUCCCGUCCCGGGAGCUCAGAGCGAUGUCGCCUGACGCUGCUCUGCACGUCCCGGAAUGAUGGCCGGUCAGAAGGGUCGUCUCAUCCCUCGGGGGUUGCGGCGACGUCGAAUCGACGCACCAUCAACCCUCGCGCCAUAGUAUAAAACCCCUAGCCGGCCUCCAACCAGGGGAGAGGCAAAAAACAAAAGGGAAAAAGAAAAGCAAUCUCUCUUAUUACUAAUUUGAUCGUCGGAGGGGCCAUAGCCGGGGAUCAUCCGGCGGAGGCCAUUUUUGCAGGAGGGCGACCACUUGUUGACGACGAGGGACUCGGCACAGGAGCACCAGUCGUCCGACAAUGUGGAGUUGUUAAUCAGCCCCAAUCUCGACCAACGCCAACAACACUCCUUCCCGAGGGCCUGGCCACCUCAUCAUCCAGAUCACCCCACAAUAGGCUCCCGACAUCGACCCGUGGACCUAGCUGUGCUGACUCAACGGCCAUGAUAUAUUUGUUCGCUAACAAUAUGGACUCAGCAUGUGCAUUUUAGGUUCUCGUCUAUAUCUUGUAAGUUUGUAAUCAAUUUAUGAUUUGGAUCUUAAUUUGAUCAGACACUUAUUCUUCUUUUCAUCACAUAGUGAGUGUUUCCGGAUUGAUGCUUGCCAGAGCAGAUCUAUUUGUAGGAUUCUGAGUCGAUGUUUCUGCUGCAGUGCUACUAUCAAACAUUCGAGUUAGAGAUGUAAGUAAGAUAGUUCUCGAGAAGUUUCGUGAUGAUGAAGUAGGUAAUAUUAUGGUUCUUGUGAUUACCAAGCCAUUAGAUUGUUCAUACAAAUCAGAAGCUUAUUUGCACAAUAUGUGUUUGAUGGUAUACAGCUUGGAAAAUGGCUUUAGCGAUAAAAAAUUGUUUGUUGUUGGGGGAAAAGAAUUAAUCGAUAGCUUAUAGAUAAAAGAGAUGGGCCUGCAGUAGAUGCAUUUGAAUUCCUCAAAUAAUUGUCACAUAUAAAACUGACAUAUAAAUCAUCUAAGCACCUUUCUUGAAUUAACUGGACGAGACGGUUUUUUGAAAUGCAUCAUGAUGUUGAAUGAGCCAAUUGGCUGAUUCUCUUCUCUUAUCACUUCGGCCACCUUCUGUUUAUGUUCGAAAUUUCAGAAUGAUUUUGUGCUAUGUGCACCAUCUUGUACAGCCUCAGACAGUGUGAGACAAGCGAUCGUCCCACCCGAGUCUAAGGUGAUGUCGAUGCGAUGCACUAUAUUAGCUCUGAGGCUCCAUGUUGGUAUUAACGUGGCUACUGAUUGUUGUCGCAAGGGGUGACCCUAGAAUAUGCCCUAUCAACAUUGAUGAAGUUGUAAAGACAAAGCAAGAUAAGAAAUCAAAAUGAAGCUAAAAAAUCACAACAACACUUAUUUGUGUGUUCAUUUUGUUGUUUAGGUAUUUUUUUAUGAAAGAAGUUGUUGAUGUUCUGAUCAACUUGAUGUGAGCCAGCCUCUUAUAUGCAGGGUUGUUCAAAAUACCUCUGACAUGAAAAUGUUGAGCUCUCGAAAUAUUACUUGUACGAAGAUCGAGGUUGAGAGGUUUCUCGACCCGAUCCCUCCAACGAGGUUAAAAAGAUGAUCCUUUAUUCAUUAUAUUGAAGAUAAGCCUUUAUACCUAAUCGUAAAAAGCUAGACUAUUUCAUGAAAUCUUUUACGAAGAGGCAAUCUCUAAUUGCCUCCAAUAUUUCUCUUAGCCUCGUAUUAAUGUGAGCGACUGAGGGGGGGGCAACGAACAACCAUGUCUUAGACCUUUUCCCAUGUGGGUAGACAGGUGGAGAGUGGCCUUCAUUUUUCUCUUUCAACACUAGACACCAUAUGGUGGUAAUAUAUCGAAUGAUAAUUAGCUAACAAUUGACUCCUUAUCAUGUAUCCCCCCCCCCCCUUAAAGGUGUGCUUCGGGGCUCUCAUGAGAGAGAUUUGAAGUGCAGCGUUUAGUUCAUCUAGUACAUCAAGCUUAUGCUUCUUUGAUCCAUCAUCAACCUAGUGGCACAUCUAGUUCAUCUGACAUGUUUAGUUCAUCGUGCCCGUGCAAUAUUGAUGGUGAUCUAUCGUCGACUUAUUCUUCAUAUCAUCGAGGGAUGCACUUUGGUUGGAUGGGGUUGGGUUUCCUGACCUCGCCAUCUCUUCCCUACUUGGUUAAGUUUGUAUAUUGGUAUGUCUCGAGCGGGGGAGGGGGUCGUGUUUUCCGACCUUCAUGUCUCAGACAAAGGUGGGGGUCAGGUUUCCUAACCUCCUCAUCUCGAGUGAAUGUAGGGUUCAAGUUUUUUGACCUCUACGACUCAACGAUGACCUUAAGCGAAGGAGGAGGGGGUCAGGUUUCCCGACCUCUCUGCCUCACGCACCACGAGCAUGUUUUAUCUUGUGCCUCCCGUCGUGGUGAGUUUCUUUUGAUGCAGGUUGUAUUUUCUCGACUCACAUAUAUUGGACAUAUUUUGUCUUAUGCUUUAUGUCGUUAUGAGUUUCUUUUAACACAGGUCGGAUUUUCUAUACAUCGGUUACUUUUACGCUCUUUGAGGUGCUUUUCGUACAUUGGUCACUUUUCCACUCUCCAAGGUGGUCUUCAUACAUCAAUCACUUUUUGCAUUCUCUGAUACAAUCUUCGCAAAUCAAUCACUUUUGCGCUCUCCGAGGAAGUCUUCGCACAUUGAUCGCUUUUUCGCUCUCUAAGGUGCCCUUUCAUCAAUUGAUUUCCUUUCGGAUUCAACUUAAUAGGAUACUUGUCUUCAAUGUGGGAGAAAAGAGAUCGACCCCCUCCUUAUAAAUCCCCCUUAAUCAUAGGGGUGAGACUUAUUCUCUCAUUUGAGCCUCUAAGGCCCCCAUUAGGAGCCCUCUCCACUUAGCACUGGUUCUCCUUGUAAGGUGAUAAGUUCUUAAUUACCUCAUCCUCUCAGCGUAUCGGAUCUAUAACACCUCGGCCUUUCAACAUCCUUUGCUUUCACCUUCGUAAGUUGGGAUAUAUUUCCUUUCUCGCACAAGCUCCUCCCGAUCUCAUGAUCGUCGAAUGGUCAAGGAGGUUGAUGCUCCAUCCUUGGACAACUUAGAGGCGAAUGAAGUUCUGACCUCCCCUCGUCGGGGGAAUCAAUUCUCAUUAACCCAAAGGUUCUUUGAGACUUAGAUCCAUGUAUUAUGAUAUCCAUGGAUCUGUGCAAUAGGAAUUAGAUUAUGAUGAGACCGAUUCGCCUUUAAAUACAAACUCUAAAUAAUUCUAGUCAUAGAUCACUCAAGAGAGACAUUGAGAUAAUCGGACAGACUAGUGUGUUGUAUACUCAUCCAUAUGAUAGAGGUAGUUGGUCUUAUAGCUACUCAUGUGGGGACACUAGGGAUAUCGUACAGGUGCUGAAUGAAAAAUGAGUUCACUGAUUGAUCCGCUUACGGAAUGCUAGAUAGUUGGUGAUAUCUCGUUGUUAGACAACGAUUCCAUCAUCUCAGUGGUGUAUCUAGUUCUUAGACUUGAGAUACCAAAGAUGUCUUAUAUUAGUACUUCACUCUUUAAUACCAGACUUAUAGACAUGAAAGUUUCAAAUCUAGCAUAACUAGUCAUUGGGAGUGGUCGCCAACCAUACGAGAGGUAUUGAGUAUCGAUAAAUAAUCAUCCACUCUCGGUGUCAUGAGUGGAAUAUCACAUGUAUUCUUACUUAGGUAAAUCUCUAGCUACAGUCAUUUGGAUUAAGAGAAAAGAAGUUUUCCGAGAGAAUCCAAUUAAAGCGAGACUCGAGUAGAAACCGUUUGGGCCUGACAACACAAUGUCUGGUAUACAAUUUCUAGGAUAUUAUAUAGAUAAGGGAUUAUAGAUACAUGGUAAUUGAGGAUAGACAGGUCUAAUGGAUUGGAUUCCCCUCCUAUAUUGUUUGAGGACUAUUGCGUAGUGGCCUAGUACAUUCGUAGCCGAUGAGUCGAGUGAAUUAUUAUAAAUAUAUUAAUUCAUUGAGUCAGAAUGAGUUCUGAUAAGUAUUACUUAUGUCCAGCUUGAUAUUAAGCCUAGAGGGUCACACACAUAUAUAGAUAAUAAUUCACAUAUAUGGUAGGUGUUGUGAUGAGUAGAGGUUCAGAUAUGAGAUAUCCAUUGGAGCCUAUAUCUUAUUGGAUAUCCAAUAAGCCCCUGAAUUAUUGGAUAAUAUGGACGAGAUCAAAUAAGGGCCAAUAAAAGAUUAUUAGGUAAAAAUUCACUAAUCUAAGAGGCUUGAGUAGUUGGAUGAAGAUCCAUUAUCUAAUAGGGUAGGAUCCAUUAUGAUUAAGUUGAUAUGAGACCUCUAUAAAUAGGAGAAAACCAAAGGGUCACAAGUUAUACCUCAUUUGACUAUCACCUUCUUUUCUCCUCUCCCCCUCUCCUCCUCAACCAGUAGCCCAUAUUUGGGGUGUGUGGACUGGAAGAAGGGUCGACCCCUUCUUGAUUAUGUGGUGUGCGCAGCAAGGAGAUUUGAGCAGCGAUUUGAGAAGCGUCUUCACAACCACUGCCAUGUGGAUUGUUGAAUCUCAGAUUUUGAUGAUGAAAUCAAUUAAUGAGUUUAUGAUCUAAUCUGUGUUUUGAGUAACGUAGGACUAACUUCGAUUAGAAAAAGCAAAUCGAUUAAAACAGGAGGAAUCAUAUGUUGGGUCAGAGUGAAACAUGUUAGGAGAUUGGACGUUGAGCUGGAGGAUCGGUCGACGUACCGGCAGAAGGACUUCAUGCCAUGAGUUCGAGCAUCGGGCCAAAGGAUCAUACAUUGCGACAAGGAGAUCGAAAGUUGCAAGAGUCAACAUGCCAAUUGGGCAAUACACCAAAGGAGAGGACGAUGCGUUGAAGGAUAGGACGAAGCAUCAAAUGAACCAAUGACAUACCGGACAAUAUAGGAUUCAUGCUUGUAAUCGUGUGUAUAGAUCGAGUUAGUUUAGGACUAAUUGAGUCAAUUUUGGGAUAAAACAAUUUCAACUCAAUUAUAGGCCAAUUGGGCCUGAUCAAGGCUAAAUUGGGUCUAUUGUUUGGCCCAUUCAGUGACCUAUAGCAGGAUCCGGUGAUGGUACUGCUAGACUGGGUGGUGGUACCGCCCAGUGUCAGACUGAUAGUUGGUGGUACCGCCCAAUACUGGCGGUAGUACCACCAAUACCCCGAAAACCCGAGAUGAGACUAUUUUGGCUCCAAAUUUGAAUCCAUUUGGGGCCUAUAAACACCCCACUUAUCCUUGCUCAAUGAAGAUAAGAAUUAAAACAAAAAUAGUGUGAAAACUCUAUAGUAAAUCCUUAAGAAUUCCCCUCUAGCUUUAAGUUUCGGUUUUAGUUUAAGAGAGGGGUGAGUGGAUUGUAAAGGUUAACUCUUGAACUCGUGAAAAAGGAGAAAAGAGUUGUAAGGGUAGUUGAUCUUUGCCCGUUGGAAAGAGGUUUAAUAGUGGAAGUCGGUGGCCUCGACUGAAGAAGAAUCGGGAGUGGACGUAGGUCAUGACGUCCGAACCACUAUAAAUCCGGUGUACUCGGUUUAUAUUUAUGUUUUGCUUUUCAUUCUCAUAUUGUAAACUAAUUUACUUUAUUACUACUCUCACUACACUUAUGAACGUGCUUUCUAAGUUUAAACGCUUUCCGAUACGAUUUCAUCGAACGAAGUUUUCAAAUCGUCAUUUUUACGACAGCAUUAAUUCACCCCCCUCCCCUCUCCCCUCUUAGUGCCGAUUUCGGUCCUAAUAGUUGGUAUCAAAGCUAAGAUUUUUUUAGUUUACUUUAACACCCAAAAGAAAUGGUUUUUACUGACAAUCAUGAGGGUCUUUCUAUUACUCAUCUUCCUAUGUUUAAUGGGAUGGACUACACAUAUUGGAGAACUAGAAUGUGAAUUUUCUUGCUUUCUAUGGAUUUCGAUUUAUGAAACAUUAUUGAAAGCGAUUUUGAAAAGUCUUCUAAACCAAUGAACGAAUGGAAUGAUUUGGAGAAGAAGACUUUCUCUUUAAAUGCUAAAGCGAUGAACACAUUAUUUUGCACUCUUGAUAAAAAUGAAUUUAAUCGGGUUUAUAUAUGCGAAACUACACAUGAGAUUUGGCAUAUAUUCGAAAUCACACAUGAAGGCACAAGUAAAAUUAAAGAGUUUAAAGUCAAUCUUUUGAUGUAUAGUUUUGAAUUGUAUCAAAUGAAGCCAAGCGAAACUAUUGUUGACAUGUAUACUUGUUUUACGGAUGUCGUCAAUAGUUUGAAAGAUCUUGGUAAAUAUUUUUCUAAUCUUGAACUUGUAAACAAGAUUCUAAGAUCUCUUCUAAAAAGUUUGGAUCCAAAAGUAACGACAAUACAACAAGCAAAGAACCUAAAUAAUUUUUCACUAGAAGAAUUUAUUGGGUCUUUAAUGACCUAUAAAAUGACUUGUAUUGAACAUGAUGAAUAUGAGAACUACCUUCCAAGGAACAUGAAGAAUUUAACACUUCAAACAAUAGAAGAUCACUCGAGAGAAAGCUCAAGUGAUGAUGACAUAGAACUUUUGACAAAAAAUCUUAAAAAGUUCAUGAAAAAAACUAGUUCUAAAAAUGAACUUAAAAAUGACACAUUUUACUAUAAAUCGAAGAAGAUACCAAAGAAGAAGAAAGCAUUCUAGACGAUAUGGGACGAAUCGAGUACAUCUAAUGAUGAUGAGUAAACCAACAAAAGCGAGGUGGCGAACUAUGCCUUAAUAGAUUUCGAUAAGGAGGUAUACAACUCAACUGAAAUGUCUUUACCGUACGAUGAAUUAUUAAAUACUUUUCAUGAUUUAUUUGAUAAAUGUAAGCUAGUUAGUGAAAAAUAUAAAUUAUUAAAAAAGGAACAUGCUUCUCUUACUAAUGAAUUUGAAAAUUUAAAAAAUGAGCACGAUAAUUGCAUGUUAACUCCUUGCACUAAAUGUGAAGAAUUAUAUUCAUGCAAAAAGAAAAUUUUAUUAUUACAAUAAAUGUUAGAUAAAUUUAAAAUUAGUAGUAAAUCUUUAAACAUGAUUCUUGCCAAUAAGAGUCAUAUUCGUAGAAAAGAAGAAAUUAGCUUUGUGAGUAGUAACACUCAACAAAAACCAACCACAUUUGUUAAAGGACCCACAUUAAAUAUUUUCCAUGAAAACAAAUUUAAUUUUUGUAGUAGACAUUAAUUUUUGUAGUAGACAAUGAUAGCUCACCACUAAGUUGAAAGUCUUUUCUAAACCCUAAAUACCAAAAUAAGUACUACUGCAUGAAAUAACCCUUCAUAGAGAAAAUUUUGAAAUUAAGUGUUUUACAAUUGUUGACCAACUCCAUAAAUGCAUUCCUUGGUCAUGAAGAAAAACACCUUGAAAUAGCUUUAACUUUGUGCAAGGAAUAUGCUGAUGAGCUAUCAUAUUUGAGUGGGCUGAGUUGAAAUUAUGAGGCAAUAUUGUUGGCUGAAAAAAAUAUCAUAUCAUCAGCAAGGUCCAUAUGAGCAAAUUGUAGCAAAUUAGACACUCCCAUGUCAAUCUCCCUUGGUUGAAAAAGACUUAUCCUUAAGUCCUUGUUUGCUUCGUCAACAUGAUUGUGAAAAGGACUUAAAUCAGCAACAUUAAAUGUUGGGGACACUCUAUAAUCUUCAGAUAGCUCGAUCUUAUAAGUGUUUUUGCCAAUUCUCUUAAGUACUUUGAAUGGACCAUCAGCCUUUGGUUUUAACUUUCUAAAUUUGCCCAGUGGAAACCUCUCCUUCCUUCGAUGAAUCUAAACCAAAUCACCAACAUUAAACUCCACAUGUUUUUUGUGUUUAUUGGUAGCUUCCAUGUACCUCUCAUUUUGCUUUUCUAUAUUUGCUUUAACAUCCUCAUUUAGCUUCUUUAUCUGCUUUUCUCUCUCAUUAGCAUCUCCACUAAAUUCCUUAGUUGUCGAAUGAGGGACGAAAUCCAAAGGACUAGUAGGAUUAGCACCAUAAACAAUAUCAAAAGGACUUUUAUCAAUACUAUGAUGCAUAGAAUGAUUGUAUGCAAACUCAAUUUGUGUAAGAAUGAUAUCUCACUGCUUAAUAUUCUUGCCAAUAUAGCUUCUAAGCAAAUUUUCCAAGGUUCUGUUCGUUAUCUCAAUUUGACCAUCUGUUUGUAGAUGAUGCGAGCUAUUGAAAUUCAAAAAAGUACCUAACUUUCUCCAAAGAGUUCUCCAAAAAUGACUAAGAAAUUUUGAAUCUCGAUCAAACACCAUAGUUCUUGGAAUACCAUGCAAUUUAACAAUCUCCUUAAAAUACAAAUCAACAAUACAAGAUGCAUCAUUCGAUUUAUUGCAGGGAACAAAGUGAGACAUUUUUAAAAAUCUGUCAACAACAACCAUGAUAGAAUCUUUGUUCCUUUGAGUUCUUGGUAGUCCCAAAACGAAAUCAAGACUCACAUCCUCCCAUGAAGCAUUUGGCACAGGCAAUGGAGUGUACAAUCCAGAAUUUUAACUUCUUAUUUUUGCUAAAUGACACACUCGACAUUGCUAUACAUGUUUCUCCACAUCUCUAAAUAUUUUAGGCCAAUAGAAGUUUGAUUGAACAAGAGCUAGAAUCUUGUCUCUACCGAAAUAUCCACCCAAAACACCACCGUGAGCUUCAGCUAGAAUUUCUUGUCUCAAAGAAUAAGAUGGAACACAUAAAGCAUUAGCUUGAAAAGAAAAAUCAUCAAAGAUAGAAAAUUAUUGAAAGGAACCUGAUUUGCAAUUCUACCAUAUUGAGCCGAAAUCCACAUCAUUCUCAUAGAGAUCUUUGAAUGUUUUAAAUCUAACCACUUUGACUUCCAUUAUUGAUAAUAAAAAAUACUUUCUGCUCAAUGCAUCAGCAACUACAUUUUGAACACCAGAUUUGUGCUUGAUUGUAAAAUUAUAAGAUUGCAAAGACUCCACUCAAGUUGUAUGCCUCUUGUUUAGCUUGUGCUGAUGAUUAAUGAACUUUAAUGCCUCAUUAUCAGAAUAUAAGACAAAUGGCUUGGUAGAAUAUUUCUUUCUCGUAUCAUUCAGCUUUUCACUAAAAAAUGCAUUGGGCUUUCCAUCUUGACUCAAAACAGCACCAAUUCCCACAUUAGAUGCAUUACAUUCAACCCCAAACACAUUGUCAAAAUUUGGUAGAACUAAGAUAGGAGCUUCAGUCACCUUUCUUUUUAAAAGCUCAAAAGCAUCAUUAGCCUCAUUAGUCCAUUUGAAUUUAUCACAUUUCAGACAUUCGGUGAUUGAAGCGAUAAUAGAGUUAAAACCCUUGAUGAAUCUUCUAUAAAAGGAAGUUAAGCUAUGGAAACUCCUCACAUCAUGCAAUGAAGUAAGUGUUGGCCAAUUGAGAAUAGCUUCUACCUUACUUUGAUCUAUCAUAAUUCCAUCUUUUGAAACAACAUAUCCCAAAAACACAACACUAGAAGUAAAGAAAUCACACUUUUUUAGACUAACAUAAAGCUUUUACUGCCUCAAAAUAAGAAAGAUCUCUUUCAGAUGAUUCAUAUGCUCCUCUUUACUCUUGUUGUACACCAAUAUAUCAUCAAAGUAAACUACAACAAAUAUUCCAAUGUAUGACUAAGUAUGUGAUUUAUAAAUCUCAUGAAAGUACUAGGAGCAUUAGAUAGCCCAAAUAGCAUAACCAACCAUUCAUAUAAGAAUUCUCUAGUUUUAAAUGAUGUUUUCCACUCAUCUCUGGGCUUCAUUCUUAUUUGGUGAUAGCCACUCCUCAAAUCAAUUUUAGAGAAAAUAUAAGCACCAUGUAAUUGAUCAAGUAAACCAUCGAAUCUUGGAAUAGGAAAAUGAUAGUCCACUGUGAUUUUAUUGAUGGUGCGACUGUCCACACAUUCUCUAAGAACCAUCCUUCUUAGGUACCAACAAGGUUGGGGCUGCAUAAAGACUCAUGCUCUCUCGAAUCAAUCCAUUUUCCAUCAACUCAUCCACUUGUCUUUAAAGUUAUCCAUGCUCCUUGGAACUCAUUCUGUAGGCUGCAUUGUUUAGUAUAAUAGGCCCUGGAAUAAGAUUAAUAUAAUGCUGGAUGUCUCUCAAAGGUAGAAGGUCAUGUGGAAUCUCUUCUGGUAUAACAUUUUUAAACUCCUCCAUGAUUUGUUUCAUGAUUGCUGGUGUCUUCUUGUGUUGUUCAUUUUCCUCUACUACUACUAGAGUCAUAACAUGACCACCCUUGUCUAAUUCACCUUUGCAUUCGCCAUAGGAUAUAAAAGCGCUAACUUCCUUCUUUGGUGCACUGAUUUCGAAAGGUUGUAAUGGAGCUAAGAUAAUAUUCUUUUCAUUCACCUUAAAAGAAUAAGUAUAUUUGUAGCCGUCAUACAACACCCUUCUAUCAUAAUGCCAAGGUCUUCCCAACAGCAAAUGACAAGCGUCCAUAGGAGCAACAUCACACCAUACUUUGUCUUUAUAAUACAUAUCAAUAGAAAACAAAACUAAACAUCUUUUAGUUACCUUGAUGUCAUUUCCUUUUUACAACCAACAUAAUUGGUAUGGAUGUGGAUGAGGGAUUGUGUCCAACUUUAGCUUCUGCAUCAUCUCCAAAUAUACCACAUUCUUAAAGCUGCCGCUGUCGAUGAUCACCAUGCAUACCUUGCCAAGAGAAGUUGAUUUAGUGUGAAACACAUUUUUUCUCACCCAACUUUCAUCCUCGGCCACAUAAGACACUUGUAAGCUAUGUUACAAUAUAAUAGACAAACCAUGAUCUGCAUANNNNNNNNNNNNNNNNNNNNCUGCAGCGACACCCAGUCGAAAUGGGAGUUCAUAUCGGACUCCAAGAUGCAUCUGUCAACCAAGAUGUCCAGUGAUCUUCAUCAUAUUUUGGUUCGUCAUCAGCUUCAUCUAUUCCUCCAUCACUAUGAUCUUCAACCAAAGUUACAAUCCUUCUAUUUGGAUAAUCUAAAGCAAUAUGCCCAAAACCAUGACAUUUGAAGUAUUUUUUUGCCACUUGGGGUAGAAUAAUUUGGUAUUUUUUUGCUGCCAGCAAAUUCUUCACCCUUUUCUUACACCUUCGAUAUCACCUUGCUAUGGAUAAUAGGCUUGGAACUUCCUCCUUUUAUAUAGCAUUCUUUUGAACUGUACUGAGAACUCUUUUCAAACUUCUGUUGCUUUUUAACUUUUAAUGUCAGCUUGCUCACAUUAUUUAAAGACCAAUAUGGCUGUAGAUGAACAAUUUUAGCAAUCUCAUAUUUUAGACCUCCUAAAAAUAUUGCAAUGGUUUUCUCUUCUGGUUCCACAAGCUCUCCUUUUAACAUUAGAUUAUCGAAUUCUGCUAUGUACUCUUCCAUACUAAGAUCUUUUUAUUGAAAAUCAUGAAUUUUGAGAAAUAUCUCUUGUCAAUAAUUGUCAGGUAAAUAUUUUCUCUUCAACUCCCUUUUUAUUUUUUCCCAUAUCACGAUCUUACUCUUUCCCUCACGUUCUCUUUAUUUUUUCAGAUUUUCCCACCAAAAAGAUAUAUUCCAUCUAAGUUUAAGUGCCACAAGUUUUACCUUAUUUUGUUUUAGUGGUUCAUGAAAAUCAAAAAAUCUUUCCAAUGUAUUAAACCAAUCAAUAAAAUCAUCAACAUUAAUUUUACCUUCAAACUCUAGAAUAUCCAAUCUUGGGUUAUAUUUGUUUUGCCACUCGUCUUGGACUCCAUGUCUUACCCGAAAUCUUCUCGACUCCCUUAGAUGAGGAGGUGUAUCAUCAUCAGAAGUAAAUUCAUGGAUAUCAUUUUCAAGCUAGUUGUGUCUACUUUGAAGUUCUUCGAUUAUUACAUUUUUUUCUUGUAGACUAUGCAUCAAUCUUCAUAGCUACAACCUCGAUGACUUAGUAUCAUCUUCAUGGCAACUACCUUCAUCAACUAUAUCUUUUUCAUUCCACCUUGCCAUGAUCUUUAACCUUUAGCUCUGAUACCGGGGGUGAUGGAGAAUGGGGGGGGGGGGUUGGUAAAGCAGAAUAGAUUUUGAUAGAAAACCGAUAGUAGAGUUGUAUUUGCUAGAAUGAGUAUUUCGAAUAAAAAAGUCACAAUAGACAAGGAACGAACUCUCGAAAAAAAGUCGCAGUAUAGUUGUAUUUGCUAGAAUGAGUGUUUUGAAUAGAAAAGACACGAACUCACGAUAAAACUUAAAUAAGAUCGAAAAAUAGCAAUCACCAAGUUAAAAUCACAAAGGGAUACAAAAAGUUCAUCACCUCAAGGAUUUUAAACAAGGAUACAGAGCUGAAAACAAAAGACUUGUCAUUCAAGGACGCAUCCAAGAGAUAUAGAGUUUAAGGGAGUACUCUAAGAGGGCUUUUGCCAAAAUAUCAUUAGUUUCUAAAGUCCUUUCUAAGCUCUAAACACCAAAAUAAGUACUAGUUCAUGAAACAACCCUUCAUGCAUAGGAAAUUUCGAAAUUAAGUGUUUUACAACUACUAACCAACUCCAUGAAUGCAUUCCUUAGUCAUGAAGAAAAGUACCUUGAAACAGCUUUAACUUUGUGCAGGGAAUAUGUUGAUGAGCUGUCAUAUUUAAGUGGGCUAAGUUAAAGAUUAUGAGGCAACAUUGUUGGUUGAAAAAAAUACAAUAUCAUUAGCAAGGCCCACAUGAGUAGAUUGUAGCAAAUUAGACAAAUCCAUAAUAAAUGAGUUUCAUUAAAUCAAGCUUCUAUUUUAGCAAAGAGAAAGAAUUCAUUAAAAGGAUUAAGAUGUCCAUACAAAAUUAAAUCUCUAUCCUUGUAAAUGAUUAUCACAUACUAAAAGUUCAUGAAUAAAAUUCUUCUUUCGUGAGUAGAUCGAGGAAGAAUUCAUGGGAAGUAAUCAUUAAAUGAAGGAUAAAAAAUCUAUGAAUAAAAUUUCAUAAAUCAAAUCCCUUUUCUUGUAAAUAGAAGGAAGAAGGAUUCAAAAGAAUUAAUUAAGUCAUUAAUCCAAAAUUCCAUGAAUCAAGGCUCUUCUUUUGCAAAUAGAAAGAUGAUCUCGAUUUAAAAAGAAAAUUUAAGUUAUGAAGAACCAAGAAAUUUGAAAAAAGAAUUUACACAUUUGGAAGAUUUAGCAUGCCUAAUUCUCUUCUAAUGAAAUCAAACUGUUCCUCAUUCAAUUUCAAAUCGUCAGAUCAUCAAAAUCACUUUCAAGAUAUUCAUAAAAAAUAACAUAAAUAGAUUUAUUAAUCUCUUUUUGAAAAAUCAAUAAGAUAGUGAUAGAGAAAUUUUCAAUAAUGCAUUACCAUUUUAGUUGUUUCAAUUCAUGUAAUUGAUUUCAUACAAGUAUACCCAAAUUUUUAUUUUUUUGUUUUUAUGUCAAAACCAUGCAUCAUAUUUAAAACCAAAAGACAAAGACAAGAUUCAUCACAAAAAUCACCAAGAUUUCAAAUCAUCAUGCAUGAUUAAAUCAUUAAAGAUGGUACCAAAACUUUUAAUAUUUUUAUUACGUAUUACAUCAUUAUGCAUCAUUAAAUCAUCAAAUAUGAUUUCAUUAAACAUAAAGUAUUUUCAAUCAAAAUCAUUUUGUUUGUAAUGCAUUUUUCUUUUUCAAUGAAUCUAACUUUUCAUGCUUAGUGCUAUGAGUUAACAUUCAAUUGUCAUGCUCAAAUUUUAAUUAUUAUUAUUUCAAAAUCACUAGAAAGAGAAGCAUGAUAAUUUUUUCUUUUACUAACUAAUUUAAAAACAACUCAUGAAAUGCAUCAAGUAAUUUUAAAAUAAGGUAAAGGAGAUUUGUUUGAGUUGUUUACCUCAUUAUCAAGAGUCAUCAAAGCGAAGUUCGCUACUUCGUCUUCAUCAGUUUACUCCUCGUCUUCCGAUACACUUAUUUCAUCCCAAGCCGUCUUGAAUACUUUCUUCUUCUUUGGUAACUUCUUCUUUUUAAGUUUAUUUUUAUUUUUUUAUUCUUGUUUUAUGAACUUUUUAAAAUUUAUUGUUAAGAGUUCAAGAUCAUCAUGAUCAUCAUUAUCACCAUCAUUUGAGAUUUCUCUCAAGUGGUCUUCUUUUGUUUGAAGUAUCAAAUCCUUCAUGUUCUUUGGAAGGUAAUUCUCACGUUUAUUUUGUGUCAUACAACUCAUUUCAUAGGUCAUUAAAAACCCGAUAAAUUCUUCAAUCAAAAUAUGGUUCAAUUCUUUGAUUCUUGAUAGUUGUUGCUUUAGGAUCCCAAUUUUUGGAAAGGGAUCUUAGUAUUUUAUUAACAAGUUCAAGGUUAUAAAAAAUUUUUCUAAAUGUUUUUAAACUAUUGAUGACAUCCGUAAAACAGGUAUACAUGUCAAUAAUAGUUUCGCUUGGUUUCGUAUGAAACAACUCAAAAUCAUGCAUCAAAAGAUUAAUUUUAAAGUCUUUAACUCUACUAGUGCCUUCAUGUGUGAUUUCAAGUGUGUGCUAAAUAUCGUGAGUAGUUUCGUAAAUAGAAACACAAUUAAAUUUAUUUUUAUCUAAGGUGCAAAACGAAGCAUUCUUUGGCAUUCAAAGAAAAAGUCUUCUUUUCCAAUUUAUUCCAUUCGUUCAUUGAAAGAUAAGACUUUUGAAAUCCGUUUUCAAUGAUAUUCCAUAAAUUGAGAUUCAUAGAAAGCAACAAAACUCUCAUACGAGUUUUCCAAUAUAUGUAGUUCGUCCCAUUGAACAUAAGAGGACGAAUGAUAGGGUGACCCUAUUGAAAUAUUAAAAGAGUCAUUUCUUUUGAGUGUUAAACCAAAUAAGAAAAAUUGUCUCUAAUAUCAAUUGUUAGGAUCGAGUCGACACUAAGACGGGGCGGAGGGGGUGGUGAAUUAGUGUAGCGAUAAAAAUCACAUCGAGUCAAAAAUUUCAUUCGAUAAAAUCAUUUCGGAAAGAUGUUAAACUUGAAAGUGUACGGAAGCAUAGUGAAAGUAAAGUAGUUUGCAAUGAAAGUAAAGAGCAAAAUAGAAAUGCAAACCAAAUUUUUAUAGUGGUUCGGUCGUCGUGACCUACAUCUACUCUUGAUUCCUCUUCACUCGAGGCUAUUGACUUCCACUACCGAUCUUAUUUCAACGGGUGUAGAUCAACUACCCUUUUACUCCCCUCUUCUCCAUUUCACAGGUUUAAGAGACAACCUUUUAUAAGCACUCACUCCUCUCUAAAUAUAAUUCUAACUUUAGAACUAGAGGAGGGGAUUUCUCAAGUGAUUGUUAUAGCGUUUUCCCACUUUUAAGUUCUUUAUGCUUAUGUUUGUUAACCAGGGAUGAGAGGGGGUAUUUAUAGGCUCCAAAUGGAUUCAAACUUGGAACCAAAACUAGUCUCAUCCUGGGUCUUUCAGAUACUAGCGGUACCACCACCUGUAGCACUAACACUGGGCGGUACCAUCGCUUGACACCCUGCCACUAGGCGAUACCACUACCCAGUUUGGUAGUACCACCGCCUGAUAUAGUCUCGGAGACUGCACCACCGAUGGUUCCACCUAUUGGGUCACUUUUUGAGUCUUUCGCUUGGCCUAACACAGCCCAAACUUGGGCCUAAUUGGUCUCUAAUUGAGUUGGCCCAAUUUCAACCCAAUUACACCUAAAACCUACUUCGAUCUAGACAAUUAUUAUAAAGCUAAAUCAAAUGUUGUCUGGCAUGUCAUUGGUUCAUCGACGCCUCGUCCGAUUUUUCAGCGCAUCAUCCUCUCUUGCGGCCUAUUGUCCAAUCGACCAAUUGACAUCCAUAACUCCGAUUUCCUUGGUAUAAUUUUUGCUAUUCUUGGCUCGAUGCCCGAACCCAUGGCCCGAAGGCUUUUGCAGAUACGUCGACUGAUCCUCCAGCUUGACGUUCAAUCUUCUGACAUAUUCCACUUCGGCCCUACAUGAUUCUUCCUGCUUUAAUUGUCUCUCCCUGAUCGAAGCUUCCUACGUCACUCAAAAUGUAAAUCAUAUCAUAAACACUAUCAAUUGGUUCCAUCAUCAAAAUAUAAGAUUCAACACCUCAUCCAUCUAAUAUUCCAAAGACCGUAUACCGAGUAUAGUGCUGUCAAGCUCAUACGAUUUCUACUCGAGUCUCGCUCUAAUCAGAUUCUCCCGAAGAACUCUUUCUCUCUCAAUCCGAAUAACCAUAGCUAGAGAUUUGUCUAAGUAAGAACAUAUGGGAUAUUCCUCUUAUGACAUCCAGAAUAGAUGGUCCUCUAUCGACACUCAAUAGUCCUCGUAAGAUUCACAGCCACUCCCGAUGAUCGGCUAUGCUAAAUCUCAAACUUUCAGGUAUAUAAGUCUGAUAUCAAAGAGUGGAGUACUCAUACAGGACAUCAUUAAUGUCUCAAGUCUAAAGACCAGAUAUACCACUAGGACAACAUAAUCACUGUCUAACAAUGAGGUAUCAUUAACCAUUCAAUAUUUCAUGAGCAGAUCAAUUAGUGAACUCAUUCUCCAAUUGACACCUAUACUAUAGCCCUAGUGUCCUCACACGAGUAACUAUGAGACCAGCUGCCUCCAUUAUAUGGACAAGUAUAUAGCACAUCAGUCUGUCUAAUUAUCUCGAUGUCCCUUUCAAGUAACCUAUGAUCAUGAUUAUUUAGGGUCUACGUUUAAAGGUGAAUCGAUAUCAUUAUUAUGAUCUUAUCACGAUAUAUAUGCAUAUAUGCAACAAGCAAUAUAAAGUGAUAAAAUAUCAAAACAUAAUAAGCAAAAAGAAUGUGUAUCAUAUCACGCGUGCCAUCACUCACGUGAUUGGCUUGUAGGGCACCUAUGACUAGCAUAUCAUGUAUGUUAUGCUAUGUAUUAGGCCAAAUAUAUCAUAUGCUCUGAGUGUCACGAGUAUGUACCAUACGAAUGUAGGCUCAUAGCACUAGAAAGCAGUAAAAUGUCCUUAAGUACUUGAGAAUGACUAAGGAUCUUUUACUAAUAUACGGAGAAAGUGACCUUAGGGUUGAGGGCUACACGGAAUCGAGUUUUUAGUCUGAUGUUGAUGAUAGCAAGUUUAAUUUAGGGUAUGUGUUCACCAUGAAUAGAGAAGUAGUAUGUUUGAAGAGUUCCAAGCAAGAUACCAGCGAUGAGCUGAUUCCCUUAUAUUGUGAUAACGUUAGGACGAUUACUUAAGCAUAGGAAUCUAAGUCUCAUCAAAAGUCUAAGCAUGUUCUAAGAAGGUUCCACCUGAUCUGAGAGAUCGCAGCUCAAAGAGAUGUAGUAGUGGAAAGAGUUACAUCUAAAGAUAAUAUCGUAGAUCCACUAAUAAAGAUAUUGUCUUAGAUUGUCUUUGAGCAUUACAAGUGUCUUAUUGAAAACAAACAUGUAGGUGAUUGACUUUAGAUCAAGUGAGGGAUCGCUAGUUAUAGGUAUCAUGUUAGCCAAUUACGUGAGUGAUGACAUAUGUGACAUGAUACACACUCUUUUUGCUUAUUAAUUAUUUGAUAUUUUUCUCAUUUUAAAGUGCAUAUUGCAUGCAUUUUGAUGUUCAUUGAUCUAUGCAAUGGGAAUCAGAUCAUGAUGAGAUCAUGAUAAUGAGAUUGAUUCACUAUUAAACAUAGACCAUAAAUAAUCCCAAUCAUAGGACACUCAAGAGGGAUAUCGAGAUGACUGAUAGACUGAUGUGUUAUAUACUCAUCCAUAUGAUAUAGGUGGCUGGUCUCAUAACUGCUAGUGUAGGGACACUAGCGACACCACGCAUGUGCUCAUUGGAGAAUGAGUUCACUGAUUGAUCCACUCAUGAAUAUUGGAUGGUUGAUGACACCUCAUUAUCAUACAGUGAUUCAGUCAUCCCAAUGGUGUAUAUGGUCCUUAGACUUAAAACACCAAGGAUGUCAUGUAUAAAUACUUCACUCUUUGAUUCCCAACUUAUAGACCUAGAAGUUUUAAAUCUAGCACAACCGGUCAUCGAGAGUGGUAGUCAAUAUUACGAGGGCUAUUUAUUAUCGAUAGAAGAUCAUCUAUACUUACUAUUAUGAGAAUAAUAUCUCUUUUUUUUUUUCAAACAAAUCCCUAACCAAGGUCAUUCGGAUUGAGAAAGAAAGAGUUCUCCGGGAGAAUCCAAUUAGAGCGAGACUCGAGUAAAAACCAUAUGAGCAUGACAGCACCAUUCCUAAUAUACGAUUUAUGGGAUAUUAGAUGGAUAAAGGACUAUAGAUAUAUGGUAACUAAGAACAGAUAGGUUCAAUAGAUUGGAUUCCCCUAUAUCAUCUGGGGAUUGCGGUGUAGUGGCAUCGUACGUCGGUAGUUGAUGAGUCGAGUGAAUUAUUAUAAAGAUAAUAAUUCACUAAGUUAGAAGGAGUUCUCUUAGAGACAGUUAUAGGUUGUUAGAGGUCAAGGGAAAGGUUAUUAGAGGCAAUUAUAGACUCUUAUGCAUGUGGGCAAACGGGUGAAGGGUGACAUCCAUCUUCUCCUUCUAUCUUGGAUACCAUAUAGUAAUCACAUAUCGAAUAAUUAAUUACUUUAAUAUACAAAUGCUAUUCCUGGUACAAUAUCGAGAUUAUGUGAAAAAUAUACUUAAAAAAUGUCUCUAUUGGUCUCAUCAACACAUAGGAUGUACUUAUGCUAAAAAGAAAAAAAAUACAAAAUAAAACUUAUGCAUUUCCCCCUCAACAUGUUAAAAAUCUCCUAACAUACUAAUAAAAACAUAAGAUAGAAACAAAAAGAAAAAAUAGAAUCACAAAUUUAGGCUCAAACACAUGAUAACAUAAUUAGUAAGCAAAAACUGAGCCUCGACCAAGAAUUGGCCCAUGUAGAUAUAAACCUAAAGUUAUGAUUUAAUCAGCGUUUGAGUGACGUAGGACUAACUUUGAUCAUGGAAAGAUAAAUCGAUUAAAGUAGGAAGAAUCAAACGUUGGGCCAAAAUGGAUCAUGUUAGAGAUUGAACGUCAGGCCAAAGGAUUAGUUGACGUGCUAGAAGAUAGACUUCGUGACGUGAGUUCGGGCAUCAGCCCAGAAGGAUCAGAUAUUACAUCAAGAAGAUCAGAUGUUGCAAGAGAUCAAUGUGCCGAUGGAUCAAGCAAUACGCCAAAAGAGAGGAUGAUGCGUCGAAGGUUCAAACGAAGCACCAGAUAAACCAAUGACAUGCUGGACAACAAAGGAUUCAUAUUUAUAAUCGAUUGUGUCAUGAUCAAAGUAGUUUAAGUUGUAAUUGAGUUAGUUUUGGGUGUGACCAUACUAACUCAAUUAAAGGCUCAUUGGGCCUAAAUCAGGACUGAUUUGGGCUUGCUGAAAGACUCAUUCAAUGACUUACAGUUAGGUCAGGUGGUGGCACUACUAGACCAAGCGGUGGAACCGCCUAUGAGCUGGAAUGUAUGAAGUGCGUGUUUUCCGAGGUGCCGUUAGUGUCAGGCGGUGGUACCGCCCAAACAUAGUCCCCCAGACUAUGUCAGGUGGUGGUACCGCCAGUGCACAUAGUGGCAAGUGGUGGUACCGUCGGUACCUCGAAAAUCGGAGAUUUGAAUUUUUGACUCCAUUUUUUGAAGUCAUUUGGAGUCUAUAAAUACCCCACCUAUUUUUUGCUUGAGAUAACAAGAAAAAGAGUAAAAAUGAUAAAUAAUUCUUGAGAAAAAAAGAAUUGUAAUAUCUCUUGAGUUAUUGAGUCUCUUUCUUAGAGUUAGAAGUGUUCUAAGGAAGGAGUAAGGUCCAAUUGUAAAAGAGAGGUGUGAAUAUUCUCUCUUGAGCCUAUGAAAAUGAGAAAUAAUUGUAACAAGAGUAGUUGAUCUCGUCCGAUGAAAGAAGAUCGUUAGUAAAAGUCGAUGGCCUUGACGGAAGAAGAAUCGGGAGUGAAUGUAGAUCGUAAUAAUCGAAUCAUUAUAAAUUCGAUUUAUAUUUUUUUAUGCUUUUCAUUCCUAUUACAAAUUAAUUUAUUUGUUUAUUAUUCUUAUGUAUAUUUUAAGUUAAAUAUAUUUUUAAUAUGAGUUUCAUCGAUUGAAUUUUCUUAAUCCUUCGAAAGCACCAAUUCCUCCUCCCCUCCUCCCAUUGGGAGUCGAUGUUGAUCAAAACACUAUUAAUUUCAUAUGUGUUAUAGUCCAAUAUCCUUCGUAAGACAAACAUUCAACUCUUGAUAGAUUUAGAAGUACAUCUAAAAACUUAUAAAACGAAUAUUUGUGACCUGUAAGUGAUCAGAUUGGGCAAACUUGAUUGAGCGAACGUAGUUAGUGUGUUGUGUCUAAGAUAUCAAAGAAAAAGUAAAGGGCAGAGACGUUGAAUAUUUUUUUAUAUGUGUAAUAUAUUGCAUAAUUUAUCCCAUCAUUAUUAUUACACGCAGAGUGAGAUCAUCUUUAACAUCGAGAAAUGUAAUUAUUUGAAGCCGAUGAUGAGGAAAAACUCCCUUUAUAUAUUCGGCAGUUUGUGCCAAGUUUCGCACUCAUCUAUUUUCUGACUAUUAACUAACAUCGAGAGAAACCAAAGAUAAAAGCUAUCACAAUUUAUAUAUUUCAAUUAGAGGACAACUGAGGACAAGUUGAUGUGAUACACCAAAUCUAUCUUUUGAAAAUAUCAGGAAAUAAAAGAUUAGCAAAAAUAAUUAAAAGUUUAAAUUUAUUUUUAAAAAAAAUAAAAACGGUGAAAUCGAAUUUUGAUCGUAGGAUAUUUCGAUGAUCUGAUAAAGAUUUUACUGACCGUGCCAAGGAGCACAAAAUUAAAGAACUUAAUAUAUCAUGGUUAAUUUGUUUCACAGUAAACAACGAUUCUGAUAUUAUCGAAUUGAUCUGAUUCAGACACUAUCACUAACUAUCAUUCGAUCUUGGAUGAAAAAACAAAUAAUCCUCUUUAAAGAAUUAUUUAUGUAUCUUUAACUUGAACUAACUAUAAAACUAACUGCAAUCACAUAAACCGUCGAUAUCUUAUGAGGCUUCUUUGUGGAUGAACGCUUCUUGCCUCUUAUCUUUGAAUCCGAUAAAGAAAAAAAGAAAAAGAAAAUGGAAGCAUGGCAUGAGAUAAAAUUGAACCAAGUUUUUAUUUCUUUUCAAGUAAUUAUGUCUGAUGAAUUCAUACGUUUUGCCAACAAAAAUAAUAACAAUCAGAUAUGAAGAAUAUUUAGUCGGAUUGUGAGUUUAAAUAUGAGAAACAAAAUUGGGAAUAUAUUUGGAGGCGUUGAUUCCUUAUCUAUCCUACGAAACUAACUUGUUUGAAUUUAAAUUCGCCAAGCCAGAAAAUAAAUCAAUUUUUUGCCAUCAUAUUUGGGUGAAUAUUCGUGGGGAGUCAUAUUUUUUAUAAUAAAGAAAGAUGGAUUUAUUUGACGGAGGUUCCAAGCGCAACUGCCUGUCCGUUUAACGUGGAGCCCGCCCACGUACUGCUCUGUAUUGUCCAAUCACAGGGCAGGUGACGCACGGGUACGUGACUGUCGGGUGGCGAAAGUGCUUUGUAUCAGGAACUGAGCUGGGUAUCUUUUCCGGGCUGUUUGCAUUGGGUCCGGAACGUCGCUCGGGACCGAACCACCUCUUCUAAACGCUGCUCCCUCGACGGAGUCCGUCGCCCAAGAAGAACCUUCGGACAUGGAGGACGACGACGAGUUCGGGGAGCUUUACACCGACGUAUUCCGCCCCAUCGCCGACUCCCCUCCUGCCCCCUCUCCCGGGACUCGCCCUGAUCCCGUCGUUCCUGCUGCCGACGACGAUAUCGAAGGCGGCGACGGGGACGAGAUAUUGUUCGGCGCCUCUCGUUCUUCCCCCGCCGCCGAACUUCCAUCGGUCCCUCAUCACGCCCUAGCUCCUCCCGCCGCGGCCGCCGCCACCGCCGCCGAAGACUACGGCCAGCGCGAUUGGAUGCUUGGUCACGCGCCUCCCGUGGUGGAGGCACCGGAAAAUUGGGACGACGAAAACGACGGCGUGGUCUCCAGGCCGACAGAGGUCGUUGCACCCAUGGCCGAUAAGUGCGAGCCUAGGGUUUUGGAGGAUGACGAAGAAGAAGCUAGGGUUUCGGAGAUUCCAAAUGGGGAUGGUAAAAUUGGUGACCCUGAGAGGCUUCGAGCCCCAAAUGGGGACGGCUAUCCAUUGUUUGGAGGUGGAGUGGUUGAAAAUUUAGGCGAUCCGGACGAAGCUCCGGUCAUUCCCGGCCUCUCAGCUGAACCAGCCCCUUCCGGGCCUCUGAUCGGCAUGAACAUUGAAGAGAGGAAGCCAUCACAAAGUGAGGAUUGGGACAGCGAUAGCGAAGAUGAUCUCCAGAUCGUGCUGAAUGAUAGCGAUCAUGGACGGCUUGGUGUGGACAGGAAUGAUAGAAUUGGGAUUGAUGAUGAUGACAGGGAAGAUGAUUUGGUCAUUGUCACUGAUGAGGAUCAGCAUCGCCACGUCCCGGCUACGGAUGAGCAAAACUGUGGGGAGGAGGCUAUGCAGUCUACUGGCGAUGGGGAGAGAAAGGAGAUGGUGGAUGUGGCGAAAAUUGCUAGUGCUACCGGAAGUGCAUUGGAGGCGAGGAUUGGGUACAACACUCAUGGGUCUCAUCCACAGCAUCAUUCAAUGUACAAGGUUAAUUCUUAUCAUUCAUCCUUGCUGUGAGGUGGAAACUGUAGGUUUGUGUAUUUUAGCUUUGGCAUUGUUACGUAUUCUUAAAUUGUUUAUUAGUUUCUUAUUUGUUAAUAAAUGAUCGUGGGUGUAAAGCUAAAGUCAUUUUCACAAUUAUAAAUGUGAUGUCUUUUGUGCUACAUGCUACAAUUAUAAAUGUAAAGUCAUUUUCACAAUCAUCAAUUGGUCAUUCAUGGAAUGAGAGGGUAAACAUUUCCAAUAGGUUGCCAAAGAAGGAGCAACGUACAGUGCAAGUUCAGGGCACCUCAGUUAUUGUUAACACCUUCUUAUUUUGUUAUUCAUCUUGCAUUUGCCCAGAUUUUUCUUGGUUCGAUAUAACGGGCUAUCUUUUUGGCAACAAUAGGAUAUGUCCCUCCUACGGGAGUUAUUUUAUCAAAUUGAAGUAAAAUAUCUGAAAAUGUAUAGCAAUUACUAUCAGUUGGAUUAUAAAUUAGAGAAUACUUGAGAAAUAACAUUUAUUUUUGCUAUCAGAUAUGAUAACUAAGGCUAUAUAUUUAAGCCUAAUGUCUUGUAAAAUUUUCUAACUAAUGUAGCAACUCCUGAGCUUUCUUUUGAGAAAUGAAUGAUAUAUUCCUUAACUCUUGUAAUUUGUUCAUUCAGGUUUUUCCCUGCUGAACAAAGAGAAUUUGUGUAUCAGGAGUCAAUAUAUAUUGUUGUUAAGAAAUCUGGGCCAUUGUAACUGUACCUUUAUUACUCUAUGAUCCAGCGUCAUCUAGCAUAACAUGCUUUGAUGUAUUAAUAUAUGGUUCAGGUUGUUUCUGGAUUGAUAUCUAGAAAUCAAUGAAUAUUGGAAGGUUUCCCAUUGUAGUUCAGUUGAUCGAUGUGAAAAUUCUGUCAAUUCUCAUAUCCUGAGUUGGUAUCAUGAGCCAUAUAUUUUGUCUUUGUGCUUUGUAAACAUGAUUUGGAAUAAUGCAAAUUUUUUUCUACUGACACUGGCAGACACUUUGAACUUGAUAGGAUCGAAUGAUCAUGGAUGACAGGCCUGCCAGUUAUUUUAGAUGGAUAAAUUUAUAACGAGUCAGAUAGUAGCUGCAGAAAUAUCAUGAUCAUGUGUGUUUUCACUUUUGUUGUCAUGGAAACCACUUUUAGUGUUGUGUAUUUUCACUCAGUUUUUGUCCAAUCACUCCAAACUUUGAUGCCAAUGUCAUUGUCUGUUGUCAUAUCUUUAAUGGGUAGGUUGUCUUUAUGGCAUCACAACUCAUUAGCUAAUUUUGGUUUGUUUCUUAUGCAGUAUAUAAGACCUGGUGCAGCACCUCUACCUGGGGGCCCUGCUGCUGGGACAGCUUGUCCUCCGGGCGCUGCUCGUCCUCCUCUUAUCUCAGGUCCCCUUUCUGGUGGAGGAAGAGGUGAUUGGAGACCUGCUGGUGGCAGGGGGAUUCCAAAUGGGCCCAAAGGCUAUACUGGCUUUGGUUUCCCUGCUUGGGCCAAUAGUUCAUCCCGUGCUUUUGGCAGUGGACUGGAUUUUACCCUUCCUGCUCACAAGUAAGCUUGUCAUUUGCACACUCAUUUUUGUUUCUUCUAGGAUCUUAGUUUCAAAACUUUGAACCACUUUGUCGUUAUCUUUGCUGUGUAACCAGAUGAGUAAUGCAACUUGUUGUAUGUUGAUCCUUGGUAAAACCUAACUUUUCUGGAAUCUAGAUAGGCUAGCAACAUAUUGUGAACAAGUAUGUAAUACCUUUUCAUAUAUAUGCCUUUUAAUGGAUGGUCUCCAUGCGAUUGUCCAUUGUCUGUUUGAACUUGUGAGAUUAUGUGAGAAAAUAGACUUUUACUAGAAGUUGAGGAAGUAGAAAACUUUAAUUUCAGACAGGGGAAUCUUUUCUUUUUUGUUGGCUUGUGACUAAAGUUGCAAGAGACUUAGAGGAAGUAGAAAACUUUAAGUUCAUCUCACCGGCAGGAUUCUGUUAACUUAUAACUGAAAUUGCAAGAGAAUCAUUUUGCUUUUUAUUUAGAAAUACUACUGCAGGUAUGCAUAUAUCUGUUUACAAUUAAAUUACAUUAACACUGACUGGAUGUCUGCCUUCAAUGUAGGACAACCUAUCCUCAUCAAUAUUUCUAAUUUGAUGCAUGAGUACAAUUAGUGCUCAUCUUGGCGCCAAUCACCGAUCAUUAGAAUCACUGAACAAAAAACAAAUCGUUAAAAUUGGCAUUUCGUAAAAUUUUCACUUUCUUCAGAUGUUCAAGGGGAGUUGCUGGUGAUGAAAUACAUCAUAGAUCCUAUCAUGUUAUGUGUGAAGUGGUAAAUUGAGAACAAGUGCGCUGAAGAAAUAAUUAGAGAUGGAAGAAGAAGGAUGAAAAUGCAUGGGAAGAAACACACUUCUGGUUGAAAAUAUAUGGACUAUGUAAUUUCUUGGUCCACAGGGAAAGUUUGUUGGGUGAUAACCAUGAUUAGGAUUUUGCGCCAUCAGCAAAACUUAGUUCGAGAUUGAGGACUUGAUGAGCUAUCAGGGGAUGUUGCAGAACUUGCUUCUUGGUCAUUCUAGUUUAUGUUUUAAAGUCAUGGAUUCCAUUUGUGUUUGACAUGUGAUAUGUGCUCGCCAUAUAAAGCAGUAACUUAUUAGGUGUACAUUUAUAGUUCAAAUCAUCUUGCUUUUCAAGUUUCUACUAAUUAUGCUAAUUAAGCAGGAUAGCACGCUCCUGCUGAAUUUUUAUUCUUUUUUUGUGGAUCAAUCUUGUCAAAUCAAAGUUGUGUGCAUGUGAACAUACCUAAUCCUUACAAUUCUGAAUGAACUCAUUUGCCUGUAGAUAAGAGGCCAAAAAAUUGAAAGACUUUUUCACUUAACUAUCCUAUCUAUCCAAAUCAAUUUUCAAUCCUCAGGUCAGUUUUUGAUGUUGACAUUGAGAGUUUUGAGGAAAAACCGUGGAGACAUCCCGGAGUUGAUGUAUCAGAUUUUUUUAAUUUUGGUUUUGAUGAAGACAAGUGGAAGGAUUAUUGCAAGCAGCUGGCAAGUGAAAGUCUUGUUGUUCAUUGUGAAUUAUUUAAGGCAUUGAUGUGUUGUUCUUAAUUUGUGAUUGAAGUUUUGAAUUCUCAGGACCAACUUCGUUUAGAGUCAACCAUGCAAAGCAAGAUUCAUGUCUAUGAGAGUGGCCGAUCAGAGCAGGUUACGUAUUUAUAUCUGCUGGAAUCAUGUUUUAGCUUUAGUUGUCAAUAACUUAUAACUCUGCUUUCAGGAGUAUGAUCCAGAUUUACCUCCCGAAUUGGCAACUGCAGCAGGCCAUCACAAUAUUUUUGCUAAUAAUGGGCAUAAAAAAGCAGAUGAUGGGGAAGUAGAUUUUAGUAACCAAGGAAGAGGAUCAUCAGUUAUGCGGGCACCAUUGGUAUGAUCUAUUGAUUCUCUGAACUACUAUAUAGCAUGGGGCUGAUGUUUUUUAUGGUCUUCAAUUGGUUUUUUAUAGAACGGUUUACUGGAUGGAACUUUAAGGUUUCGUCUUUUUUUUUUUUGCUUGUUAGCCAACUGGGAGAGCAAUACAGGUUGAAGGUGGUUAUGGUGAGCGCCUACCCUCUAUAGAUACCAGGCCUCCUCGCAUCCGUGAUGCAGAUGCAGUUAUUGAGGUAACUUUGUGAUAUCUACUUCCAGAUGUUCGUGUGUAUAUCAACUACCAUAUUCUCAUUUAUUAUAUGUACGACUUGUGAUUGUACGACUUGUGAUGGUUACCAAAGUAACGAUAUCUACUUCCACAUGUUUGUGUAUAUCUAAUACACUUGUCUUAUAUGUGAUGUGUAUUAUGUAAUACUUAUUAAUGAUAUCAACAAAUAAAAUUCUUGUCGAACAGAUUGUGUUGCAGGAUUCAUUUGAUGAUCCAAAAAUGUGCAACUGUGCCCCAGAGAAACACAAGAGUGUUGAAAGAGAUGAUGAUAAAUGUUUUCAUGAAGUUAAAAAUGAUGAUAGAAAUACUGUCUCAGGAAAUAUGAGGCACUUUUCACAUGCUUCUGGCAAUAGGAAUAAGGAAAUGACUAGAAGAGCCCUUUCUGCUAAGGAAAAAAAUGAAGUGUUGCUUUUCCCUUCGGAAUCUUCAGCUGAAUACCAUCAAGAUUCAAGAACAAGGAGCCCUGUAUCUCCUGCUAAAGCACUGGGGAUACACCAAAGCUGCAGGUAAAUUGUACUUCAAAAGAAUUUAUGUUCCUUUCAAUUUGUUUUGUAAGCUUCAACUACAUGACAUUUUUUAUCGCUAAUUAGCAAUAUCCAGAAAAACAGCAGGGAGAAAAAGAAAAACAAAAAAGUACAGCAAAGUUACCAUGACACGACGCUUGCCCUCAGUAAAGAAAAGAGAAAUGCAUGUGGAAUUUUCCUCUGCAGUUCAUAUACGUAUAUUGUGUUUUUGCAAUAGUUUUGGUUUGGCAUGAUAAAAUUCGGCAUGCUCAGUGCCGGACCCUAAGGGGUUGUUUUCCUUGUCAGUUAGAAUUGCUGUUUCCAAUAUACUUGGGUUGUCAUAAGAAGGGUUUGACAUGAUUGGUUUUGGUAGCCAAGGAAGAGGACCAGCAGUUAUGCGCAUUUGAUGUGAACUCCAUUCCUUAAAUUCAUUUUCUUUGCUUAUGAAAAUAGUCGAAGCCUGAGACAUGCCUGUGCCAUCUAUUGCAUAGUUUGCAGCAUGUGCAUUCAGCAUUUGACUACUCUACUGCAUCUACCACUCUGGAUACACAAGCAGGAAAUCUUGAUGUUUGAUGACAUGGACCACAACUUUGAGCAACAUUGUCCAGUUACCUUUGUCAGGUCCAAAUAAGAAUAUAAAGGCUUUUGAUUGAUGGAGAAGAAACAUAUUUCUUUUUCUAUUGUAGUAUGUAAUAACAAUUUAAACUGAAUAAAUUAGAUAGAAUUAUUCAAUUAUAGAAGCACACGUUUGGAUGUUCCUCAAAGCUCUAUUCAUUCAGAGAAUCUGAGAUUCUGAGAAGUUGGUGAAUGAUAUUUGCUUUAAGAAGAAAUUGAGGUGUCUCUCUGAAAUCCUAUGAGAUUGACCCAUUGAUGGGUCUUUGAUAUCAUGAUGAACUGUUGGCACAAGUCCUAUCUUGUCAAUUUGGUUGAAGGAGAUGGGGGGCUCAGCAGGAAGAGGGUAUACCAUGAGAGACGCAAGGAAGUUGAUAUGACUCACAUAUAUUAUGGAUUCUACCAACUCAGUUAGCAAUACAUGUGUGGAUUACAUUUUCUUGCACAUAGUUGCAUGAGUAUUAGAAGUCACUUGUCAUAUCAGAUUAUCAGUCUUAUGCAUCUGUGAAUGUCAUUAGCAGUAAGUUUAUAAAGCCACAUCAGGUAAAUGGAGAAAGAAACUAAUUGGAAGCAAAGGAGCUAUGUCUAGGAAUACUGGCAAAUUCUUAGAGUCAUGCCUUUUGACCAAUCGUCAGGCUUAGUGGAUCAUUGAACAGUGAGUUGGUAAAAAACAAGUCAUAUGCUUUUUCAUCCUAUUCUCAAAUUAUUUAGGACACUGGACUUGAAAAAAAAUGUAAUUUGAUGUUACAAAUAAUUAUUUGUAUUUUUGAAUGUGUUUUUUCUAGAUUUAUCUGAUGUGUAUGCGUUGAUUUGCUUAAGAUACUGUGUUUCUGGAUACAUACUAAUGUGGGAUUGCUGAAUUGAUACCUCAGGUUGCCCCAGGGAUCUUCACAUAGAAGAUCCUCCAAUGGUCGUGAACAAUCUAUUGAUGGCAUCCCUAGUCCAAGUGUCCACUCAAACAGGCUUGGUGAUGAGGAGGAGACACAGGAUGAUAGCACUGGAGUUGAUCGGAGUUCUGGAAAAUCAUCUUCUGUUGCUGAUGAUACUGUAAAAGAGCUGAGUGUUGAUGAGCAAUGCUGUGGGCAUGAUGAAAAGCUUACACCAGUUAGCAUUGAAAAUGAAGGGGAGGACAUGGUGUCAGACGUACAUAUUCCUAAUGAGACCAGCGACAAUGAUAAAUUAGUUCAAACUGGCAAGAAGCAAAAGCUUUCAUCACUGGUUGAGCAACCUGCAGGGCAUGAUAGUGGUCAUGAGGAUGAGUUGCAAACCUCAAAUAGUGAUAACAGUAGACAGAAAUCUGGGAGCAGUAAGGAUUAUCCAAAGCAGACUGAAAAUGGUGAUAAAGUCAUACAAGAAGAACAUUCAAUUCAGGUGGGUCACUUAAAAAGACCCCACAAAGAAGAAUGUUAUUUGCGACCAAAAGAUGACUAUGGUCUGGAUGCUAGACAAGUGAUGAAGAAAGAUUACAUUGUUUCCAAAGGAAAGGAUGAUACAUCUGAUUCUUAUAAGCACCCUCUUCGAAGUAGAAGCUAUGAGAGGAAAAAGGAAUCAGAAUCUUCUAUCAGUUCUUGGCAAAGAAGAGAGGACAAUGUACACAGUAGAAGAGUCAAAGAUGAAGACAGGAGGUGGGAGAAUAGUGAUGAAAUGGUGUCAAAGCACAGGAGCAAGUUAAGGGUGACUGACAGAAACCCGAAAGAAGAAGAUCAUUCAAAAAAGCGUGUAGAAGAUAGAGACUGGAGAGGGCAUAAUAGGGAUGACGUCUUAUGGCAGAGGUCAAGAGAUGAUCUUGUGAGUCGUCAUGAAAGCACAGACGAACCUCUCAUUAAAAAGAAAAGGGAUGAAGAAUAUCUAAGAGGCAAAGCUGACAAAUUAAGUACUCUGCAUGGUUAUAGGGAUGAAGAAAAUUCUGGGAGAAAGAAAAGAGCAAGGGAUGAUGCCAUAGAUCAUAGGAGGAGAGAGGUUGACACUAGAAUGAGAGAUAAGGCUGAUGAUCACUUAUCUUCCAAUCAUAAAGAUGAUAACUGGCGCUAUAGGGAGAGAGAGGAUAGGCAGCGACUUAAACCUCAUGAAAGUGCACCGAUGCACCGGGAAAGAGAAGAAGGGCGGGGGUCUGUAAGGAGUGGGCGGGCUAUGGAAGAUAAAGCAUCGGGUGGUAGUGCUAGGAAUAGGGAUGAAUCAAAGACUAUAGUCCAUGAUAGUAGGGUUCAUCAAGAGAAAGAAAGAAGGCAACUUAAUGAUCAUUCAAAGAGGGAUCAUGGUAGGGAAGAUGAUGUACAAAAUAAGGGACGCAGACAUUUAUCUGUGCGUGAAAAAUAUUCAAACAAUGACAGAAGAAACUCUAGGCAUGAAAGGAUGAACACGUACAAGGACUGCCCUCCUAGUGCUGAUGGCAAGCAGAUGUACAGGGAAAGACACAAGGAAAAUACAAGGAAAUCCAAAGAUUCAGAAGCUCAUGAGCAGCACAGCCAGGGGCUUGGUAAGAGAAAGCAUGAAGACCGCCACACCGCUCAAACUGACAAGGUAUGCUUCAGAAUAUUGAAGCCAUAUAUUAUAUCUUUUACUGAUGAAGUAAGCCUCUGUAUCAAUAGAAGAUAAAGAACAAUUGAAAUCUUUCCCAAUUUGGUCAUUGUCACGAAACAGCAAAUUUUUAGAUUUUUUUUUCCACAUCAAACAAGCAGAUUUAAAUUGAAGAUGCUACUAUUACCUUGUCGAUAUUGAAGGUCUGAUGACAUUGUAUCUGAUGACCAUUGUUUACUGUUAAUGGCCUGCAUUUUCCAUCUCAGGAGUUAUUUGGUCAUGGCAUAUCUAUUAUUUUUUUGUAAAAUCUGUUUUUCGUUUGUAAAUAGUUAUGCAUAUUUAUUGGUACUUGAAUUGACUCGCACAUGCACCCGCAUUUGCAGCUGCAUACUUCAUAUGGAUUUUAAGUGCAUUACAGUCAAUUUUGUCACACUUCAGGUUUCUUGUAGUUUAUGACAUAUCUUUGUUCCUCCCUUGUGUGUGUUAGUGUUUUUUAUUGGAAAAUAUGAUUUGAAAUUCAGAUACAAUCAUAGGUUGCUAGUCAUAUGAUUCACAUCCAAUCGAACAAUGUUGUAAACACUAAAUAGAUUCAUCGUAUUAAGUUAUUAUUUGGGCCAAGUAGAUUCCCUCCCUUAGGAAAGUCCCUUACUGAUGGUACGCUUGCUUGCCAAUUGUUCACUUUUCUCAGGUCUAUAUUAGAAGCUUAAAUGAGCAAGAAAGUAACAACAUUUCCUCCACCGAUCUCUCCAAGGAUCCCCACCAAAUUUAUGAAGAACCGGAGGCCCCCCAGCAAAAGAAACAAGAGGAAGCUGAUCCUGCCUCAGAUGAAGAGAACCAGGGUUCCAGGAAGGGGCGAUCAAAAUUGGAACGCUGGACCAGCCACAAAGAGAGGGAUUAUGAUGCCACUGGCAACACACACACAUUAUCUGCUUCCUCAGGGGUUAAGAAAAUUGAAGGCGAUAAUGUUGAUGUGGUGCAGGCAGAUGAAGGAGCCAAAACUGAAUUUAAUAAUGCCGGUGAAUUAGAUGGCAAGGAUGUUGAUGGAGGCCAAAUUGUGGAUAAGACGGUGGAUGAGCCAGACCACCACCUAGACACUAUGGCUAAGCUUAAGAGACGAAGUGAGCGCUUCAAACUUCCUAUGCCUAUUGUAAAGGAGACUACAUUGAGCAAAAAAUUGGAAAAUGAAGUGCAGUCAUCCAAUAAUGAAGCUGCUCUUGAUUCAGAGGUAAAGCCAGAGCGACCAGCUAGGAAAAGGAGGUGGACUGGUAGUAGUUGAUUAUGGCUCCUUGAGGAGAUCAUGCCAAUUGUGCUCUCAUGAAGCAGAUGGGUGAGUUAGCCCUGUGUUAUAGCUCAAGUAUCAUCACUUCCCCUACACACCCUUCCUCUUCUCCUUACUCCCAAGCGUAAAGCAAGUACAUGAGAGGAAAUGGGUGUGUAACUUAAAACAUUUUAGAUGGUGGUCUGAGGUUUGUACUUCCUUUUCCUUUUUUUGCCCUGGUCAGCCAGCAAGUUCCGAUACCGGAGGUUCCUUCCUGUUUGAGGGGGCUAGAAAGGUUUUCAGGAUAAUGUUUGUGGAGUUUUUGAAGCUAACUGAAGCUGCAAUCAUGGGAUGGUAGAAUUAUCUGACAUCCUGGAAGACAAAGAUAUUACAAUAUCUGAAGGGGGUGGAGCAGCAUUGCCUCUUUUAUCUUAUUUUGUUUUCAUCUUUACUAUGAUGCUCCUGAAGACGGGUGGGAAGGCAUCAUUGCUGGAAACUGAAUAGCUGAUGCUGCCAGAGAUCAUACAUUGGUCAUGUGCUCAUCUAAAGUGUCCAAGUCGAGGAACAAGAUCUGUAAAUUGUGGGCGGUUAAAGUCAGAUCAGACAAGUGCAGAUCUGUGGGUCUUCUAAUCUCAUUGCUUCUGUUCAUAAUCGCACAUUGGUGAUUGACGUGCUAUGCAGUUCGAGAGGCUACCAGAUGCCUUCUUAUGAUCAUGAAGACCUAGCUGCAAAGGUUGCAUUGCAGCAAAAAGAAAGUUCCCCUGAAACUAAUUCUACAGAGUGAUGAUACAUCGAACUUUUUUUACUUAAAUUCUUCCUUUGGCCCUACGAUGCAGCGUCAUAUUCUAUAAUCGUAGAUAGAAGAUCUUGAAGACAAUGUCCAUACUCGAAAAUUAUUCAACGGAGAAAGGACAUGUAAUAUCUUCCCUGCUUCUGUUUUGUUCAUUGACAAUUGUAGUUAGGUUGAAUGUAUUGGUAAACUAUAUGAGCACCUGCCCGAAGAGACAUACCAUACGGUUAGACAUAAAUUAGGUCAUCAAUAUUGAGACUGACACUGAAUCCAUUUCCGAUAUGUUUGACUUGCUUACUGUGGCAUUUGUUUGUGAAACUUUCUGCUUCAUCCUCUUCUUGAUCUUAGAUCGAAACAGGUUUUUUGUCAAUUUAGAUAAACUAACUUGUACUGUAUCUUCCUAGUCUAAUAAUUAGUCAGCUUAGUUAAGGGCAUUAGCCUAUUAUUGGUGUCCUUUUGCAUGUUCAGUGGCCAUAACAGCUUUAUUAUAAACUUCCAAUUUGGCCAUCCACUGACUUUACAAAACUUCCUCACUUGUCUUAUGCUGACACGCCAUAAUUUCUAGCUCCAUUUGCCAAGGCAACUUGCAAUAUAUCUCAAUAACAAUUCAAUCAUGAUGAGUAUCUAAUGGAACGACAUUUGUGUUAAUAACAUAUUCAGCAGCAUCAUGGAUGCCCUAUUGCCAAUUUUUUUAUGUUUCUGAUCACAUGCUAUCCUUGCUGGUGAAUGAAAUCUAGCAAACAUUGCACGGAUGGACAACUCUGAAGCCUCGGGGAAGGUUUGCCACCACCUGGCAUCAAUAUCAUAGAUCCUUCACGUUCUAUGCACUUCCAUGUUAGUCGUUGAACCCUUCUCCUAGAUUGUAUAACUGCACAUCAUGUUGGAAUGGGCAUGUCAACAUGGUCUUGUUUCUUUGACAAACAACGCACAACCGAAGCCUUGGCUACUUGGUUUGCGCUGCUCCGUUUGGAUGCAUUCGAUUGAGUUCCAGCAUUCUAUUUCUCCUUCAUGGAUAUGGUUUCAUUUUGUUCGACUCCACGUAGUUAAUAUUAUUAAUUGAAUCAACUCACGAGGCUAAGCCAAUGCUUACUAAGAACUUUUGUCAUGAUUGUAGCAAGUUUUAUUUGCGUUCUUUAAGAUUGAUUACACAUGGUCUCGACUUGAGACUCUUGCAAGCUAAUUAAUUAUUGCCAAUGACAUGAGGACAGGACCAUCGGUUGCAUGCUUCGUUAUUGCAACUCAUGGAUCUGUUAGCCUAGAGUUAGGGCACAACUGGGCUCUAUAAAUAACUCGACAACUUGUGACUCGUACGCUUACCUCUCAUCUUAUUUUAACGUAUGAUCAAACCCCGUCAAGUCUUAGAGGAGCCGCCAUAAAGUUUUGGCAAACAGCACGCAAAUGCCGGUCUUCUCCCUGAGGAAACUUAUUUUAUAAUUAUGCUUAUUUGUCUCGACUGAGUUGCUGUGUUUCUAUUUAUUUAUUGAGCCUUGCAUGGUGCUCGAAUAUCCUUUUAGUGUCAAAUGUUUUACUUCCAAAUUCAUCUAUCAGAGGUGAGAGUUUGGUGGAAGAGAUAUAAGAUAAUAUUUGGAAACAAGUUUUCAUAUAAUUGCCACACUUUAGGACAUGAAUCCUUAUCCGUCUAUGGGGAUCAAGAUAGUCUACCUAAAAGUGGUAUUUAUUUCAUCUUUUCAUAAUAGUAUUAUAUUUUUAAAAUUAUUAAUUUAGAUUUUGAUUGUUCGAUGAUGUGGAUGUUAAUUCAGAAUCAAUCAAGAUUUUUUUUUUUUUAUGCAUCUCUCUUCUAUGAGUGAUGUGGUGUUAGGCGAAUAAAAGUCCAAAUGGAAACCUGCAAAAAUACUUAAAAGAUGUCUCCGAGAAAACCUCUCGCAUGAUUAAGUUAAUUUAAAUUUGACUUUGAAUGAUUCAGUUUAAUGUCGAAUCUACAUGAGCAUAAGUGUGUUGGAAAAGUGAAGAAGUACUUGAGAACCUUUUUAUACUUCUUAUUAUAUUUCAGGUUGUAGUCAAAUAUUUGAAAUGGUUGUAUUUUCUCUUGUCAUUGAUGCAAUCAUGCUAUAUCAAACUAACUGACUGAGUCGAUCAUGUGAUUGGCAGAAUACUGAUUGUUAUGUCAUCCUCGGAAUGAUAAUGUGAUAUAAUUCACGUCAUAACGAGGUGUUGGUCACAUGACGAUAAGGUAUCGAUCAUAUAAAUGUUAUAUCGUUUAGUGUUAUGAUCCUCGUAUCAAUAAUAUAUCCUUAAUAAGAAAUAAGAUAAAUAAAUUAAGUGCAUCUUUUUAACAAUCUCUGAUUUUAUGAGGUGACUGAAGCGAUCAAAUAAACUUAAACAGUGUGCAGCAUGCUUUUCAUUAAUCCGUCUUAGUGUGUGAUAAUAUCAUGAUGGAUAGACUUUCCAUAUAUCUGCCAGCCACGAAACAACGUGUGCUUUUACCAAACAAGGCGUGACCAGAGAACAUAUAGUGCGUCAAGUCGUCGGAGGACGAUUCCACCAGAAGAAUCCUUACCGUGCGAUGCAUAAACACAUGGCUUCUUUACUAGUUUAUCACAUACCGUCUUCGUCUUCAUAUCUAUAGUCAACAGCUGUUUCUCAUUUACUUGUCUUCUUGGUUGACAAUUAACAGGCUACUGUGUGUGUACAACAUUGGUUCUUCACCAAGUCUACCUUUCUCCUUGAGGAUUUGCUUGUUUCGAUUACACGAAAGUGACAUCUCUCGAAAGCUAUCUAUCUUCGUCCCCACCCAGAUUCACCUCAUAUUCUUCACGUGUUAGUUGAAUGGCCUACUCCAACUCUUUUCAAUGCUCUUAUUCUUUGCGCUUCUUACGGACCAAUCCGGUUGGGGAAGCCCGAUGAAUAGAUGGAAUUACUACAGACUUUGGACGAAAAAUCUUUGACCCCGCGGGAUGUCCGCCCAACAAACGAAAAUUUAUAUUGGGAGUUUUUCGAUACGAACCCUCUUGAGGUUGGAGCAGAAUAUGAGGGAGUCGUUUCAUCUAUCUUUUUCGAAUUAACUUCUUUUCAUUUCAUAGAUGGGUCUAACUAUGAGACGAUUGUCGAUUCAAUUUUAGGAACGAAUCCCGAUCGAUUAGGUCAGGAGGAGUGUUACGAUGCGUGGUGAUGAUCGUCGAUGAGAGGCAAAAGGGAUUCCGAGAUGAUAAACUCAUUCUAACUAGUAUUCCGACUUGUCCAUUAAAGAGUAAUGUAUGUUUGACUUGCAUAAGGUAGAUUUGAAGUGCCCCGAGAUGGCCAUGAUGGUUUGGUGGUGGUAAUAAUAGCUGAAACGAAGGCGCUUGUUUCCAGAGAAGUAGCUGUCAAAUGGUUGGCACAUGGGACAACCCCUUUUUCCCACGUGUUUCACCAUUAUACUUUUCCGGCUGCACAACACAACAAGCUCCUUAUCUUUUCUGAAAGCGAAGGGGAGGGUGAGGAGAGUCCACGCAUCUUUCAUGGGACCGACCGAGCUCAGCGAGAGAGAUCCAACAUAGCAGUCGCCUUCCCUUUUCCCCUUGUUGAUUGCAAGAGAUCACAGCCGAGUUCAUGUGAUCCACCAACCUCAGCGCUCGGCUGUCCCUUUGUGGAGUUCAGAUUCUUUCAAACGCAAAUGAUAAUUCCAACGUGAUCUUAAGAUGUCACACACCCUUACUCUGUUGUCCCAACUCCCUCGCCUAUUCUAAUCUGGAAACGAUAAAAGAAUUCCUCUUCAUGGGGCCCCAUCCCGAAUUGUCAAGGUUAUCUGUAAUCGCAAGAAAUCUGGUGGAGAAGCUCUUCUUCCGAGGCAGCUGAACCGAGUUUUGCAGACGUGAACUCUGUUGCCGUUUCGGUGAUGAUGAAUAACGAAGGCAGGCAUCGUGACGACGGUCGUUGUGACAGUAAUGAAGGCAAGCUUUCGAGUGGAGGAGAAUAUGACACCACUGUCUGUUCACAUCGAACGUAAUCAUCACUUCAUUUCAUUUACAAGAAGCGGCAGAGCAAUUUCAAUAUGAUCGUGAAGUCAGCCGAUUUCUUCUCUUUUUUUGAUGCCCAGAAGAUAAGUAGUGCAAUUUCAAUAUGAGAUCCGCUAUCAGGAACAAGUUAACAACCGAGAUCCUUGAUAUCUGGAGGUACCCGACACUAUCCGCAUUAGCAAACGAAUGCAAUGAGAUCGCAAUAUCCAAAGCAGACGUAUGAAACAUACAGAUGACGAAGAGGAACCGGUCUUCUCCCUCGGGCAUCUGAAGUCAGCAGUAGGUCAUAUCUAAGUAUUUUUGGCCGUCGAAUCGAAUGGUGGACGGUGGACGAUUCUGUGCAUCCAGCGGCUGCCACUGUAUGCGGAAAGCCAAGUGUCAUCUCAAGAUGAAUUGUUGUUACGGGUGGUGGCGUACACUUCCGACCUAAAUAGUGGGGUGGACUGAAGACUUGCUUGGCGGUAUAAGAAGACCGCAAAGCCUUCAUGAGUACAGUGACCGGGAAAAGAGUCGAGAUGUUCACACGGAGGCUCUUCGAGUAUAUGAGGAGGAGGAGGAACCAACUAGGAUCGUUGAAACAAGGAGCUUUUGGAUAAGGUGUAGACACAGGUUUUCCUUCAUCCCCUUCUGCUCCCGUAUCCCGUGUUCUUUGAUUUCAUGGUCUUGCGGUGUCUGAUCUAGGUUGUUCUUCGUCGUACAAGUCGUGGAAAUCUGAUCUCGGUGUUUUCUGUAAUGAGAUCGAUGCAGGUUUAUUGCGAGGCUUCUCCCCUUUUGAGGAUAGAGCUAUUCACAGGCUAGCUUAGACCUUCUAGGUUUUCUCAUCGUCUGAUGACGAUUCUUUCUUAUAAGAAAAUAGAUGGUUUUGGGGGCCUACGAGCAGCACUUCAUCUCCUUUUCUUCUUCUAACAUCUUAUUUGUAUUCACAUUUUUCUUUUCCUUCAAUUAAUUUUUUUGAUCGGUAUCCUUUUUCGCACACAUAGCGAAUGGAUCGAGCAAGAUUCGAAGGCGGAUUUCUGUUUACCUUUUGUUGACACUGGCACUAGCAAAAAUUUUUAGCUCUAUUUCUGGCUAACCUCAACAAGAGCUUCAGAUUUCGGACGUAUUGCAUGUUUAAUUCUUCUUCUUGAUUUAGAUCAUGUAAACGUUAUCCUUUCGUCGAACAGACUGUCAUACAACUGCUCAGCUUGAGCUUGUCCUCGGUCGCAGAUCUCUUUGUUUUAUCAUAGAGAUGGAGCAAUCAUCAGGCCAAUGGCCGCCACCUGAAGAAGUGAGUACUGACAGUACUACCCUCUCAGGACCUCAUUAAUCUUAUAAUCCAUGUGUAUGUACGAAUUACAACUGAGUGGUCAUGUGUGAGGUUACUGUCCUGUAUAGGAAAACAGCGAUCUUUCCUUCAUCUACCAGCCUGAGAUGAAUUCUCUGGACAUGUUCACGGCAAACCAAAUCAUGGAGUCGCUUGGUGAAGAGCUCCAUCAUCAUCAUCUUCCCUCGGGGUCUUGCUUCCCCUUCGAUUCGGCUGGGAGCAGUGAGUUCAACAACAACGCCAGCGGCUCUCUCGUGGGGAUUCCAUAUGGGACGCGUAUGACCACCGCUGUUACCAACGAGCUAGUCUCGGUUGAGGCACCACAAGCCUCCCCCAACUUUCUCUCGUUUGGUAAUCAGGAUUCGUUGCAUGAUCCACCGCAACUGUAUAUGAAUUCUGGCAAAGGGGUUGUGGAGCCACAGAAUGAGAUCACAAGCCUGUUCUCUCAUGGUUCGACAUGGAGUGAAGACACUCUCGAGUUCCAAAGACAGGAGAAGAAGAGCAUGGGGAGCAGACCACCUUCUUCCGCUCAAGAUCAUGUCAUUGCUGAGAGGAAACGGCGAGAGAGACUUAACCUGCAGUUUAUAGCAUUAUCCACGAUUAUCCCCGGAUUAAAAAAGGUGCUGCUUAUUCUUUUCAUCUCUGUAUAUGUUGCUUGAUUCAUCUUCUUGAAUCGUGUUCUUGUUGCCACACUGUGAUUCUUAGGCAACCUACAAUAUCAAUGGCUAUGUUGAUGACCUUACUUAUAUAAACUCUUCUUUCUCAUGAGCAUUAUUUUAUGCGUUGCAUAAAUGAUUCCCAUGAAUGCAGAUUGGAAGAAGAAUUAGAAACUAGCAAUGCGGAAGGACACUUAGGAAAAAGCUAUAAUGCUCAAAGGAAACAAAGCAACAUUGGUUGCUUCUUCUUAGAACUAUAAGCACUGAUGCAGUUCAGCGGAUCUUUUGUUUGUGUGGCAUGCAGACCGACAAGGCCACUCUCCUUGGAGAUGCAGUCAACUACAUCAGGCAACUGGAAGAGAAGGUGAAAACGUUAGAAGAGAAGGCUUCGGAGAGGACUGUGGAAUCCACCAUCCUUGUCAAGAAGACUCACAUCCCCACCGGUGACCACACCUCAGAUGCCGAGGGAAGUCCUUUUUCUGAGGCCUUUCCCAAGAUCACGGCCAGUUUGAAUGGGAACUCCAUCCUCGUGAGGGUUCAGUGCGAGAAGCGAAAGGGGCUGUUCGUGAAGGUGCUCUCCGAGAUCGAGAGGCACCACCUCUCUGUCAUCAACACAAACGUCAUGCCGUUUGCUUCCUCCUCUCUCAAUAUAACAGUGACUGCACAGGCGAGUCGAUACCAUUUUCUUCUGCAUUCCUGCAAGUUGCAGUCCUGACAGGAUUAUGCUUAUCGUAUCUUUUGAUACAGAUUGAAGAGGGAUUCUCGAUGACGACGACGGAUCUCGUGAAGGACAUAGACUCAGCUCUUAGCCGGUCCAUGUGAAGAAGAAAAUACUCCACAAUCUCUCGUUGCUGUUCCAAGAGAGCGACUAUUCUUCUUCUUUUAAGCUUUCUUUGUCCCUUGUAAUUACGAAGGAAAAAGGCUGAGCUAUAUGGGUAGUUUAGCUUCAGCUGCUAUUCCGAUAAGAACCAUCUGCUGUAUCCUCCGACUCCUAGAAUUCACAAAGAGGAAUGGAAAACGGAAGCUUCUUCUCUUCAGAGGCUAUAUAUAUUAAAGAGUGUUGCGGGGAUAUGGACUUAUGUGUGGGUAUUAUGCGUGGAAAUUACUUCCGAUUCUAACUUAAUAAAUAGGUUAAGUUUAAUAUAGGGAAGGGAGAUGGAUGCUUUGUUUUUGACUUUUGAGUUCCUCCUACACAGCGGUCUGUGGAUGAGAGAUCAUUUGUGUAUAGGCCGCUAUUGGGUCAACCCAACUUCCAAUUGGCUAAUGGAUUUUGACCAAGAUCUCAUGUACGCUUGCAAAAGCUAGAUUGGGCUGGGCUUUAUCUCGAAUUAACCCAUUAAGGUUGAAGGCCCACUUCAUUUUCUAUGAUGCAACUUCCGAUCCGUUCAUGGAUGCUGAACUCCAAAUGGAAGCUGCAACUCGAGUGUUUCUUAGAGUUUCAGAAAAUAAUUAAUUCAUCGAAUAUUUUGGUUUCUUAUCAAUUAAGUCCAAUAUAAAAACAAAUUUAUGAUCUAUGCGACCUUCGCAAUACUCUAACCAACUGAGUUAAACGAUACGAUGCAAAAAAAUAAAUUUUAAGAACUUUAUUUUUUAUUUUUUCUAUAUUAUUGUAAGAUAUUAUUUUGAGAGCUUUAAGUUCAGGAAAGUCUCGAGCUGAGACAGACAGACUGUUGAAUCAUUUAGGGUUUGGAGAAGUUUAAUGUGUAUCAAAAGAAUAGUUUUUGUUGCUUUUUCGGUGUGCUCGUCUGUUCCUCUGUUGGCAUCCUAAAACUUGCCCAUGCUAACAUCACACUUCUUUAUAGGGGUGGGUGGAGAGUCGGACUAUCACAAGAUUCAGAUCAAACAUGCCUCCUCUGUUGAAAGAGGUCAGACCGGAAGCGAUGCAGAUAAAGCCACUACGAACAUGCUUGUUGCCUGCCUUCACAGCUCUUUGGUCUGGAGAACUGACCUAAAAGAUGGGGCCUGUGCGACCUCAGCUAGAGAGGACAGGCAGUUACGUCGCAGAGCUCAUCGGGUUCUCACCAAGCUUCUGAAGUCAGCGAAAGCUAGUGAGGAGGAUGGCGUGCACUGCUGAGCGAUCUCACCAACUCACUCCUCCCUUGUCUCAUUGCAGUUCCAUCCUAAAGCUUUCAUAGCGUUGGUUGGAUUCUUGUUAACUCAAUCUAGCUUUAAAAAGGUGUUACGGUUUCCAUCUUCUUCAGGAUGAGAAGUGCAGCUUUCAUGCACUUGUGAUUAGUGUGUGGAGUUUUAAGAUAAAACUAUAAAUGGCUUACAAGUUCAUUACCAUUUCACAUGGAAUACAACACUAAUGGCCGCUGCAUUGAUGGCUCUUCUGGAGCUAUUUAAUGUGUGGUCAGCGAUGGCACUCAGAGAACAUCGUAGUUCUCCUCCAAACAUCUUCUUUUUUUUUUUCGCCUCCUCUCCUGAUCCUAUAAUUUAAUCUUACAACAGCCUGCUAACUCAAUAAAAGCCUGAUCGAGAUGCAUCAAAAAAAGAUGCAGAUCCAACCAUGGGGUACAGUGCCAAAGUCACCAUCUUCUCCUGCCUUGGUAUGCGCCAUUUGACCCACCAUGGCCUGCAUCCCACAGAACUAGAAGAUCAACAGCAUCCGGCAUUGCAAUCGACUCUGCUUUGUGUUUCCUAGAGCUAUUUAUCACGGCAAAACGACAAGCGCAUCGAGCAAUCGACCCAGUUCCGAGACACCAUGAUUUGAGCCAUUAAUUGGUUCGUGUUUGAUUUCUGUAGACGAAGAAGAAGAAGUAGGAGAAGGUGUACAAGCGUUGGAAACAGGGAGACUCUGGGAUGGUGUGAAUAAGCCACGCACCAUCCAAAAACCAGGAGACAAGAAGAUCGCCAUUCGAGACUGUUACACUCUCCCCGAAUCCAACCCUCCCUCGCUCCCCAACAGGCACUUGAUGAGCUUUAAUAAUCACCACGCUGACAUAAAAAUUAGGAACUAUUUAAGAAUUGGUUUAAUGGCAACAGAGGAGAGAAACUGAAGCAGAUAAGAUAAACUAAGGGCAUAAUUAACACAUAUUUAGCAUUAGCCUUGGGUAAUUAAGACAGGCUCGAAACCUUGCUUGUAUUCGAUACAUCAACCUUCCAGAAAAUAAAAAUUAGCGUAUACAGCUAUCUGGAUCUUAGCCUGUUCCCAUCCCUAUGAAGUCAUUUUGAGAUCAUCCGUGAGAUAAUUUGUUCUGGGCACCUAAAGAGUAGAAAAAGCUAUGUGUUGGGUUCAUAUGCAACAAGGGAAAGCCAAGGGGAGAAGGGGUGGCCUUUACUGUUCUAUUGUAUCGAGGAAUAGCGUCGAAUCCUGUACAUGGGGGACCGCGAGAUGGCCGGAGACCACGAGCCCUGUGAUGUUGUGGUAGAAGUAGUAUACAUAUGAUUUUGUGGAAAUCGAGGCUUCGGACUUGGGUUUGAGGGCGACGACUCGUGCGGUCGAGGGAGAGCAGCCAGUGGAAGACGACGGAGGGGCUGCUGCGGCAUUCCCUUGGCUAUGGCCACCGCCUCUGUGCACAAAUUCUGGCUCAUCGAAACAGGCUGACAGCAGCAGUCUGUGGAGGUUCGUCGUCGGCAUAUUUCAAGUUGCCAGCCUCAUGCAACAGUUGCGGUUGCAAACGUCGGAGAGCGACAGCUGAUGGAGUCCUUCCUGUCUUGGAAACAGACCGUCGCCAGUGGAAGUCUAAGAAACAAAAUUACCGUCACUUCGAUUAUCUCGGACUCGAUGGCAAUGAUUGACGCUGUUGAGAUCAUGAAGCUCUGCUCUUCUCCAAAUUUAGUGUAAGAUCGAUCAUGAGUGCCGAUUCACUUAAACCGGCAGAAUCCUGCAGCACUGCACCACAUGUUGUUCCAUUCCAUUGACUUGGAUGGUAACUUUCAUGCCCGGGGCACCUCCUCCGGAACUCAUCGAUAUGCCGGCUCUCUUGCAUGCAAAACCAACCGCCUGCUCUCUGGUUUCCACCACCACUCGUCUCUUUACCUCUGACCUCCCUCCCCACCAUACUAAUUCCCCGUGCCUUCUGCUGCUACGGAGAGUAGAACAGGUCCUUUUCUAUGCCACGGCCCCACAAGAUCUUUAAAAUAAUUAUAUAAAACCCAUCAAUUCCCGAAUAGAUAUUAUUUAUACCUCCAUAAAACCUGCACCCGACGCUCCCCACUUCCCCCAAGAGUUCAACAGAGGCGAGAGACAGAGAGAGAGAGUAAUGGCGUCUCUCUACUGCCGCCGCCACCGUCAGCUCCUCCUUAUCUUCCUCGUCCAUACUAUCGGGUCAUUGGCGGCGGCGGAGGAGGCGCUGGAGGCUGACGCCCUCCUCGCGCUCAAAGCGGCCGUCUCAGACCCCUCUGACGCUCUCUCUGCCUGGAACAACUCCGCCUCUGGUGGCCAUUGCUCUUGGCCGGGCGUCGCCUGCGACCCCCUGCGGGGCUUCGUCGUCUCCCUCGACCUUACUGGCUUCAACCUUUCCGGCACGCUUUCCCUGGCCGUCGUCCGCCUCCGCCACCUCCUGAACCUCUCUGCAGCCUCCAACUCCCUCUCCGGUCCCAUCCCCGCCGAGCUCUCCCGCCUCUCCAACCUCCGCCAUCUCAACCUCUCCAACAACCUUUUCAAUGGCUCCUUCCCCUCCGCCAUCGUUCGCCUUAAGAACCUCCUCGUUCUCGACAUCUACAACAACAACCUCACAGGGCCCCUCCCCGCCGAGGUCUCCGAGCUCCCCAACCUCCGCCACCUCCAUCUCGGCGGUAACUUCUUCUCCGGCGUCAUCCCGCCGGUGUUCGGCCGCUGGGAGUUCCUCGAGUACCUCGCUGUCUCUGGCAACGAGCUCGGUGGCCCCAUUCCGCCGGAGCUCGGCAAUCUCACCCGCCUCCGCCAGCUUUAUUUGGGCUACUUCAACAACUUCGAGGGUGGCAUCCCGCCAGAGAUCGGUGGCCUCCCGGAGCUCGUUCGCCUCGACAUGGCCAACUGCGGACUCACCGGCGAGAUCCCGCCGGAGCUCGGCAACCUCCAGAACCUCGACACGCUCUUCCUCCAGGUGAACGGUCUCUCCGGAAGACUACCGGUGGAGCUCGGCCGCCUCCGCAGCCUCAAGUCCAUGGAUCUUUCCAACAACGCUCUCACCGGCGAGAUUCCCUCCUCCUUCGCCGACUUGCAGAACCUGACUCUGCUUAACCUGUUCCGAAACAAACUCCACGGGUCGAUUCCGGAAUUCGUCGGCGACCUGCCGGCGCUGGAGGUGCUCCAGCUCUGGGAGAACAACUUCACCGGUGGGAUACCCCGACGGCUCGGCCAGAGCGGACGGCUCCAGAUCGUAGACCUCUCGUCGAACAAGCUCACCGGGACUCUGCCGCCGGACCUCUGCUUCGGCAACAAGCUGCAAACGCUCAUCGCCCUCGGUAACUUUCUCUUCGGCCCUAUACCGGAGACCCUUGGCCGGUGCGAAUCACUCGGUCGGAUCCGGAUGGGGGAGAACUAUCUCAACGGAUCGAUUCCUCAUGGACUCUUCAGCUUGCCCAAGCUCUCCCAGCUCGAGCUCCAGGACAAUCUCCUCACUGGCGGGUUCCCAGACACCGGCGCCGCUGCCAUCUCGCCGGACCUCGGACAGAUUAGCCUCUCCAACAAUCGUCUCUCGGGGCCGUUGCCACCGUCCAUCGGCAACCUUACUGGCCUCCAGAAGCUCCUGUUGAACCAGAACCAGUUCUCUGGCCGUAUACCGCCCGAGAUGGGGAGGCUGCAACAGCUGUCCAAGUUGGAUUUCAGCGGCAACCGGUUUUCCGGCCCGAUAGCGCCCGAAAUCAGCCGGUGCAAGCUUCUAACUUUUGUGGACCUCAGCAGGAACGAGCUCUCCGGUGAGCUCCCACCGGAGAUUGCCGGAAUGCGGAUCUUGAACUACCUGAACUUAUCAAGGAACCAACUCGAAGGGAGCAUUCCGGCUUCCAUCGCCACGAUGCAGAGCCUCACGGCGGUCGAUUUCUCGUACAAUAAUCUCUCCGGCCUCGUCCCUGGUACCGGCCAGUUCAGUUACUUUAACGCGAGCUCGUUCGUCGGCAAUCCCGAGCUCUGCGGGCCGUACCUCGGCCCCUGUAGCUCCGUGACCAAUGGCGACGGCUCCACUCAUGCAAGGGGGUCACUCCCGGCCUCCUCAAAGCUGUUGUUGGUUAUCGGCCUCCUCAUCUGUUCCGUUGCCUUCGCCAUGGCCGCCAUCAUCAAAGCGCGAUCUCUGAAAAAGGCAAGCGAUGCCCGAGCGUGGAAGCUCACUGCAUUCCAGCGUCUCGACUUCACCUGCGACGACGUCUUGGACUGCCUGAAGGAGGAGAACAUCAUCGGAAAAGGCGGGGCCGGCAUCGUGUACAAGGGCAUCAUGCCCAACGGCGAACGAGUCGCUGUUAAGCGGCUCCCGGCGAUGAGCCACGGCACGUCGCAUGACCAUGGAUUCUCGGCCGAGAUACAGACUCUGGGAAGGAUUCGGCAUCGCCACAUUGUCAGGCUACUGGGUUUCUGCUCGAACCACGAGACCAAUCUCUUGGUCUACGAGUACAUGCCCAACGGGAGCCUCGGGGAGGUCCUUCACGGUAAGAAGGGUGGCCAUUUGCUCUGGGACACCCGGUACAAGAUUGCGGUGGAGGCGGCGAAGGGUCUCUGCUAUCUUCACCAUGACUGUUCGCCGCUGAUCCUGCACCGGGAUGUCAAGUCGAACAACAUCCUGCUUGAUUCGAACUUCGAAGCCCACGUCGCGGACUUCGGGCUCGCCAAGUUCUUGCAGGACUCCGGUACCUCCGAGUGCAUGUCGGCCAUCGCUGGCUCCUAUGGCUACAUUGCUCCAGGUACUUUCUGAACUCCUGUACCGCAUCCAAUAUUCUUAACUAUUUCUGAGUUCUGUUCUUAGAAUGUCUCCGAUUCAAAGUGACACGCUGCAUCAAACUGUAGUCCUGCAUGGGGAUUCCAUCGAUGAUCCCGUUAUGGGAGUCGAUAGGAAUCCCUGCACGGAAAAGGUUCAUUUAGGCAACCUCAAAUAGAUUCGUGUAGGCUCAGCAGAUGCUUUUUUGUUCGCGUGCUCUGCUUUCUCAUUCUAUUCGCAUUGGAUGAUGCAUUCCAAGCAAGUACCCGGUCGCCCGGCCUCAUUAUGAUAGUAAAGGCCCUUUCCAAUCGCUUCAGGUUAUGAAUCAACCUUGGGAUGUAGAAUACCCUAUUCUUUUCUGAGAACUGAAGCAACAUUGCUUCAGUGAUUGGACUACUUACUGGUGGGUCGUUCUUUCUUUUCUCCUCCUCUAAUUACCUGAGCCACUGUUGACUUUCUUACUUGGUACCACAGAAUAUGCAUACACGCUGAAGGUGGACGAGAAAAGCGAUGUGUAUAGCUUCGGGGUGGUGCUGCUGGAGCUGGUGACAGGCAGGAAGCCGGUGGGCGAGUUCGGGGAGGGCGUCGACAUCGUGCAAUGGGUUAGAAGGAUGACGGGAUGCAACAAGGAAGGAGUACUCGAGAUUGUGGACCCCCGGCUUCCCACGGUUCCCCUGGACGAGGUCAUGCAUGUCUUCUACGUCGCCAUGCUGUGCGUGGAGGAACAGAGCGUGGAACGCCCGACGAUGAGGGAGGUCGUCCAGAUACUGACGGAUCUCCCAAACCCAGCUCGUAAACAGGGAGAAGACCGUGAGGCAGCCACCAAGGAGCAGCAGCAAGCAGCAGAGAAGCCGCCACCACCUGAUCUCCUCAGUAUUUGAAAUGCCCGGGUGGUUCCGAAAAGUUUCUGCUGGUCCUGCAAAUUUUGAGUGCAUCUGCAUCUGCAUCUGCAUCGUCUUCUUGGUCUGGUGCUGCCAGUGUGUUAGGUGAACUCUGUUGUACAGCUGCUAGAGUGGUGGGGCUUAGGUCACUGGUUAAUUUGGCUUCAGCUCUUGUUUUUGUUUGUGAUCUUCACAUGCCGUUGCAGCUGCUGGUGCUUUAAAUGUGUAGAAGAGCUCCGGUCCUCUUUUGCUUGUUAAUGGAAAUUAGUAGGGAACGAAGGGUAAACUAAGUAUAUGAUCAGAGCCGGACAAUGUUCUUUGAAGCCUUUAAUGGAGUGAGAGUGUGCUCUUUAUAUUAGAAGGAUGAGUUCCACCGACGGAUCGUAUGAGGUUUAGAAAUCCUAUCAAAUCCGACCAUUUUUCGACAUCGUAUGCAAGAAUGUAAUACUGGUAACUAUGCAAACGUAACCGGUUGCGUGUGAUCUUCAUCUUCCACGUGCCAUGCUACAUGCAUGAAGAUGUCAUAUCGAAUGCUUCAAACACAGUACAGUGCUCUGCAACCAGAAGAAUCGCCGGUUCACAUGUCACACGUAUGAUGGAGGGGGUGAGUGCUUCCCGUGUCUUGUGCACCACUGCCUUGUCACUUCAUGCACCUCUCUUCCGCAACGUAAUCAACAAGCAAGACGAAACAACUCUCUCUUCGUUCAUCUUUUCUGCCUCAAGCUUUUUGUUCUCUACCGCGCAGAGUCACCGCAGAAGCGUUCGUGCUACGAUCUUCGUGGCAGUCGGUCUACUGAUACCCUGCUGCACUUUCUCUGUAGCGUGCGAGAGAAAACCUGCAGGCCUUCAUGGCUUUAAAAGGAGAACAGGAUCUCACGUACAGUCUAAUAUGGUGAGCUCCCGGGAGUUUAGGGAUCCGCUUCCUCUCGGUCGACGACUGCCCUGUUCUUGGUACCCUGAUGGGCUUAAUUUUCUGUUCAAAUAAGAAACAUCAUUUUUACUGUCUUUUUUAAAUAAUUUUUUUUUUCUUUUAUGACUAACUUGGGUACAAAGAGUACGUGGAUAAACUAGAAGCAAACAGUGCCAAGGGCGUUCUUAAUGGGUCGAUCCUCGUUCCAAACCCUUGAAGCCCGGUAUUCAUUCCCGGAAUUAAGGGACUUGUUCUUGUUCGAAUUGUUUAUAUCAUAUCAUCUUGCUACGGAUCGUUGACGGUGGUCCAAAAGGAGAAGAGAAGAAGGAAAGCACACUGGAAAAUGCAUUAUGGUCCUGCGAUCUCUCUGCAUGCACUUGCAACUCCCCACGUGCAUGUACUUGGCGCAGGCAACGUAAGCAGCUUCAGCGGCUUACCGUAAAUGCUGUAAGCAGUGUCAGUCUGCUUACAGACACCGAAAACAAUUUGGACAAUGACGCAUCGCAAUUACACUCAGAGAACGCACAAUCCAACCAGAUAGUGUCAUUUACUAGUGUCGCUCGAUCCUGAUCCGAAUAUGCGCGAUUAUCCUGCAAGGUCCUUCGGAGACGAGGCGAGAGAGUAUUUGAAUGGGGACGGCCGACGGCAGUUUUGAGAUGCCUCCAAACUGCUGUGAUUUGUCCGGAGGUGAGUUUGAUCUUUUCGAUAUCCUACGUUCGUAGGUUACCGUCAAAAGAUUUUCGAUGUAAUUCUUUCUAUGUUUAGAUUAAUAUUUUUUAUGUAAUUUAUCUAAUCUCGUUUGAACAUCAGGGAUCAAUUUUUAUAUCUAUGAAGUCGAUGGGAUGGGACGAUAGAGACUACACAUAUAUCUUUAUUUAAUACAUUUAUAUGGAUAAUCAUUUAUUGUAAUCUCUAUAGAUUGGUUCGUACAAUCUCUUCCGAUGUAAAUCGACUCGUAUGAUCUUUUAUGAUACGAUACCGAGUCAUAUGAAUCCUUAUAAUACUAUACUAUACCGAGAAUGUUCGAUAAAAUAUCGCUCGUUGGAUCAUAAUCAUUAUUCACAUUAGGUAGAUAGGUAGAUGUUUCGUUAUUUUUCACAUCAGCUCCUCGAUUGUUAUCAACUGACAUAUUAUAAUUAAUAAUAAAAUAUACCCUAUCGACUAGCAAGAUGAAGUGCCCGGUAUUCUCCUACAUUAUUGUGCUGUAGAACUGUACGAAGGAAGAGACGAAGAUGAGUAACUUGUCCUGAUCCUAACAGAGACACCAGCACAACCAUCUGCGAGAUUUGCUACGUAAGCCGUAAGAUACUGCAGGAAGAAAGGAUUGAGGGGCCUUGAUCUGUAGGAGUACUGCAUGCAUUUAUGAGUUGACGUGUGAGUUGGUGUCUACUCGUAGGGCAUCAUUAUAUAUGGAGACCACAGUCUCCGUCCCUGUCCUCAUUCACCUUCUAGUCUUCGCUGUCCAGGCUCUCUGCUAGGUUGCCGGAUCGAUACAAGAUCGACGGCAACAGUGGAUACCGCACGCGAUCAGCAAUCCGUGCCGUUCUCAUGAACAGUCUCGCCCACCACAUCAGCCUUGCUCCGAAGGCAACGAGAGGGGCUCUUGUCAGCGUAUCGCACUCGGCCACGCUUGAUUUAUUAGGUGGAGAAAAGUGAAUUUGCUUUGUCGAAUUUUAAGCGUAAAAUACUUCUAAUAAGAAUCUUUUUGACGAGAAGUCAUUCAUAGCUCGAAAAAAAAGGAAUAAACAUCUAUAUUUAUUUAUUUAUUUACAUGCAGAUAGAUAUACUUGUAAAGUACCUUUACAGUACAUGAUUGAGAUUAAAAAGUUAAACGUAUGACAAUUGUAAUUGAUGUUUGGUGAAAGCCUGCGGAAAGCCGAAAACAAAGCCUUCAACAAGUAUAAUUAUGAGGCCUUCCAGUAUUCAACUAUCGUCGGUGUUAGAAAGUGCACGUGAACCUCUUUCCAUCAAUCUACUUUAUGAUGGCACAAGGAAUAAACUUUCCGCGCCCUCGUCCUAUCUUCGCAUAAAGCUCGAAGCAAAGAGGAGAGACAGCAUGUUUGUCAUGAUUCAAGAAGCAGGAUUUCUUCGUUCCAAGUGACGAGUGCUUUUGGUUUGACCCAUUCGAUCCCCGUUACUUGAUGCUAUACUUCAAAGAAGAGAAGAAGAUCCAGUGUUAUCGAUGACUAUGGUUAAACAACAAUGGUAGAGAGGGGCCUUCAAACCUCAGAAGAUUAAACCUCCUUUGGCACUCGAAGACAUUCUUGCUGACUCGGUUGCUCAUGUUCUUUGUUUCGGUUCGUAGGCCCCUAUAAAGCGGAAGCCCAUUCGCAGGAACCUAGACAAAGAGGAGACGGCAGUAUCUUGGGGCAGACGAGGCAUGUGAGUCAGGAGGACACAAUGGAAGAGACAGCAUCUGGCUGAUGCACUCCCCACCCCUUCCCAUGUCCUGAGAUGUGUUAAAAGACUCGAGGACAGAGAAGAGGAAUGGGCUCGCAUUCAACAGCUACCGAGAACCAGAGGAGGUGUGGCGAUAUGGACUCCAGACUGUGAUUGCUGUCACAUUCUGCGUCAACUUUUCUUUUGGUGAAUUGUCCUUCAAUCAUUCAAGCAGAGACCCAUUCAAGCUUUGAGCUCUCGUUUUGAUCGACCCUUCAGCCCCUGCCACUGCAAGAGAGAGAGGAGGAAAGCACUGCGUGUUUGUCGCCGACCUGAUUCCUGUGCAUGAAGAGGACAAAUAGAACAAACAUUCCAUGGCUGAUACAGUGAUGCAUCCAAAACCUUUCCUCGCUUCAUCGCAUUGGCAAUCUCCGUCUACUUUAGUCGAUUCUAACCAUUCCCAUUCCCAUUCGAUGCUCAAAUCCCACGUUGCUCCCCAGAUGCUUACAAGAAGACACCGACUCAUUUCCUGUUAAUAGAUUCCUAACCCCAUCCGUAUACUAACUAUAUUGCCUCAUAGGCUACAGAGAAUAGAAAACAAAGAUUGUGCCAUCUACUCUCUUUGGAUCAAUAAAUGAGACACUUGCGAGAACUGAUGAGCGAGCAUUAGAAAGAGAAGUACAUCAGAUGGAGUUGGUGUUGCCAUGUGAAUUCACAUGUCCUCUACUGAAAAAGACUUAGAAUUUGAAACACCUUGGUGUUACAUCACUGUCCAUAUCCAAGUCAUUCUUGAGACAGGGUUGGCUCUUACCAAUCGACCAUUUCCCAAGUUUGAGAUUGAGAAGAUGUAGCAGUAAAUGAUUCAGAAUCCAAGAACAGAUAUCGACAGGUCGGCGCGGGAGGCUUUCACUUUGUGUUACGUUUGCCUCUGCGAAAGGCCUUAGAGUAGGAAAGACGGGCACCAGCAAAGCAAAGAUUCCAAGAAGAGGAGCAGCGCAGCGCUCCUUGCCAAGGACCAGACUCCAAGUAGCUCGUUCCCACGUUGAAGUACUACUACGCCACUGAUAUCAUCAGGGAGGAGCAUCCGAGAGUCUGAUUCGUAAGGUUAUCAACUUUUUUUUUUGGUUUUUUCUGGGAGUCAUACUUGAACUUUCUCCCUCCCAUUCCAGCCAAAGACUUGGAGUCAGAUCAAACUUUUCUAAUUGAUGGCUCUCGUCCUAAUGCUUUGAGGCAGUGAAAAGUGGUUAACAUCUUAAAGAGUAGCACUUUAAAUGCCCACCAACAAAACCUCAUCUUCCUUCUCCGGUAGGCUGCAUUGGUUAUGGAAAAUAUAUUGCUCGACUGUCAAGGCCAAUACUGGGUUUUGAGUACUUUGAGACCAAAGACUAGGAGAGCAGACCAUGCUUACCUGUCCCUGCGGACAACCACUAGAGAAAGCAAUGUCAGGACACCAUGAUGAACGAUGAUCAGAACACUGGGAAUCAACAUUUAUUCUCGGGAAAGAAGAGACCUUGAUAUAUCUAUGAGCCACAGCUGUCGACGAUGAAAUGUAAGCGGAAGUACCAAAUCAGUCUCUCUGUCCAGGCCUUGACUAUCAAACGAGAUGAUUCUUCAGCUCAUGAGUCUGCCUUUGCCAUGAAGAUCCAUCAGCUUUCAGUUUAAUGACAGUGUUGUUUGAAAAUUAUUCGUUAUCUAAAUAGUUAUCAUAUUUUAAAUAAUUAUAAAUAAGUAUUAAGAAAUGAUCUAGAAAUUAUAGAGUAGUUCCUAUACCUAACUCAUGGGUGGUGAAAUGAUGUAGUUACCACUAAAUCCUAUAAAUAUAGUUCUUGAAGCAAGAUAAGAAGUAUUCACUUAGAAUAUCUUGGAAGUAUUCUAUGUCUUUCCUCUUGUUUAAAUACUAUAUCGAUUUUCUUGAUCGAAAUGAUUCUUUUUAAUUGCAUCGUAGUAUUCUGUUUUUAUCAUUUUCUUGCUCGAUCCUCAAUAUUUAUGGUAUCAGAGCUCAAUUUCAAUCUGAACUGGGCAUUAUGACUUUCAAUGAUAAUUUAAUAUCUCAACCCCUUAUUCACAUCUUCUCGGAUAAAUAUGCUAUGAAUUUUGGAGUAUCAAGAUGAAGACUCUAUUCAAGUCUCAAGAUUUUUUGGACUUAAUAGAGAAUAGAUAUACGGAUCCAAAUGAAGAAAUAAGGCUGAGGGAGAAUAGAAAAAAUGACUUAGACAUUAUUCAUCAUUCAACAAGUUGUACAUGAGAUAAUCUUAUCAAGAAUUACAGUAACGACAACCUCAAAACAAGCUUGGUGGAUAUUUCAAAAUGAAUUUAAAGGCUCAUCAAGGGUGAUUACAGUAAAACUUCAAACCCUUCGUUGUGAGUUUGAAAUUUUGUUCAUGAAAAGUAAUAAAUUGGUGCAAAAAUUAUUUUCUCAAGUGACUGAAAUUGUUAGUCAAAUGAAAUCUUACGGUGAGCAUCUUCCUGAUCAUAUAAUUAUUGUCAAAGUUUUAAGAAGUUUAACUCCGAAAUUUAAUCAUAUUGUUGCCACAAUUGAGGAGUCAAAAGAUUUAACUACAUUUUUAUUUGAUGAACAAAUGGGUUCCUUGUAAGCACAUGAAGCAAGGUUGAAUAUGUCACUUGAAAAAAGUGAAAAAAAAAAUAUUUCAAGGAGAGUCUUCUACUUCAAAAGAAGACAAAAAAUCAACAAGAAGAGAACGUGACAUAGGAGGAUUUUGUGGUAGAAGAAAUAGAAGAGAAAGAGGAAGAUGAUACUUUGAUGGAUAUGAUGAACAAAAAUAAUCAAAUUAUGAUAAAAAAAAUUAUAAUAGUGGAAUUCAAUGUCACUAUUGUAAAAAGUUUGGUCAACUGAUUGUUGGAAAAUAGAAAAGCAAACAAGCUAUGUGGAGGAAAAUGAAGAAAAUAGUAAGUUGUUUAUGACUCAUUCACAAGUUAAUGAUAUCUCAAAUGAUAUUUGGUUUUUGGAUAGUGGAUGUUCUAAUCAUAUGUCAAACAUAAAAUCAAUGUUUAAAGAUAUUGAUGAAACUCAUAAGUUGAAAGUUAGACUUCGAGAUAACAAGUAAAUCCAAAUGAAAGGAAAAUGAACAAUUGAGAUGAAACAAAUCAAGGGAAGGUAAAAUACCUUGAUAAUGUUUUCUUUGUUCAUAGUUUAUCGCAUAACUAGUUGAUUGUUGGCCAAUUGAUUGAUAUAUGAUAGAUAUUCAAUUAUUUUUUAUGAUAGUUCAUGCACUAUUAAAGAUAAAAAAUCUGGUUUGAUUACGAUAAAUGUUUGCAUGACACAAAACAAGAUGUUUCCACUUGAUAUUUCAAAUAUUGAAAAUCAUGUUCUUGUCGCAACUCAAAAGAACAAGUCUAAUUUAUGGUAUUUAAGAUAUGGACACCUUAACAUUAAGAGUUUAAGGUUAUUAAAUAAAAAAAAAUAAUUUUUAAAUUAUCCAAAAUUAAUACACUUGAUGUAUAUUAAUGAUGCAUUUAUGGCAAAUAAAAUAAAAAAUCAUUUCCUAUUAGAAAAGCAUAGAGAGCAUUUAAUUGUCUUGAAUUUAUUCAUGCUGACUUAUGUGGACCUAUGAAUACAAAAUCAUUUAGUGGAAGUCAAUAUUUUAUAUUGUUUACUGAUAAUUAUAGUUAUAUGAGUUAAGUAUAAUUUUUAGAGCUAAAAUAUAAAAUAUUUGAUAAUUUUAAAAAAUUCAAGGCACUUGUAGAACGGUAAAGUGGUAGAUGCAUAAAGACACUUCGGACAGAUAGAGAUGAUGAAUUUUUAUCUAAUGAGUUUAAUUCUUUUUGUGAAGAAAAUGAUAUUCAUAGAGAAUUGAUAGCACCAUAUACACCGCAGCAAAAUGGUGUAGCUAAACAUAAGAAUCGAACUGUCGUUGAAAUGACAAGAAGUUUGCUUAAAGGAAAAUACCUUCCAAAUCAGUUUUGGGUAGAAGCAGUUAUAACAGCAGUUUAUUUAUUGAAUAUUUCACCAACAAAGGUUGUUAUGAAUCAAACUCCUUUUGAGGCUUAGUAUGGUAUAAAACCAAGUGUAAGUCAUCUAAGAAUUAUUUGUUGUAAUGCUUAUGCUUUAGUGAAUUCACAAAAUCAUCACAAGCUUGAUGAAAAAUCUAAAAAAAUACAUCUUAAUUGGUUAUUCAUUACAAUCCAAAGCAUAUCAAUUAUAUAAUCCUAUUAGUGGCAAAGUUAUUAUUAACAUAAAUGUUAUGUUUGAUGAAAGAGCUAGUUGGAAUUGGGAGACCAAUGAAAGUGGAAAACAAAUUCAGAUUCCAACAGAAUUAGAUACUCUACAGAAUCAAGUGACAUAUCAUGUUCCAACAAGUUCAUUGUCAACCUCACCUAGUAGCAAUUCAAGUUUUAAUUCCUCAAAUGAAACCCCUCCAGGAAAAUUCAUAUCACUAACAGACAUUUAUAACUCAAUAUUUUCUUUGUUUAUUUCAGAUCUUAUAACUUUUGAUGAAGCAGUUGAAAAAGAGGGAUGACGAAAAACAUUGAAUGAGAAAAUCAAAUCAAUUGAGAAAAAUGAAACUUAAGAACUAAUGAAUCUACUAAAAGAAAAGAAAGCUAUUGGAUUAAAAUGGGUGUUCAAAACAAAGUUUAAUGCAGAUGGAAGUAUCCAAAUGCAUAAGGCUCGACUUGUAGUAAAAGGAUAUUCAUAAUAAUAAGGUAUUGAUUUUGAUGAUAUUUUUUCUCCAAUUGCUGGAUUUAAAACCAUGAGAACCUUUUUAGCUUUAACUGCUCACUUGAGUUGGCAUGUUUAUCAAUUUGAUGUGAAAUCUAUGUUUUAAAUAAAGAUUUAUGCGAAGAUAUUUUUGUUACUGUACUAUUUUUGGUUAAAGGACAUGAAGAAAAG